This 63135-nucleotide long non-coding RNA is filed under the name Physcomitrium patens. Its description in RNAcentral is "long non-coding RNA (PPAT_LNC013302)". Lineage: Eukaryota; Viridiplantae; Streptophyta; Bryopsida; Funariales; Funariaceae. The record is from RNAcentral.
UUGAGUCUAGUCACUGUAUAUACAUAUCACAAGAACCUCGAGUAUUUCUUGUCAGCACAUGUAUUAAAUCAUCAUCAAGCUUGUUGGAGCAUGUCUUUAUCAAGAUUUGAGUUUAUUAUCAUUUAUCGGCCAAGAAAACAACAAAGUUUGUUUGAUGCCUUGUCUAGACGUUCUUAUCUUGCACCAAAAGAAGGAGAUGCAACUUUUGAGCAACAAAGAAUGGUUCUCUUGAAGCCGGAGCAAUUUCAUCUUUGAGCAAUAAAAUCAACAUUGAUUGUUGAUUUAACUUUUUUUAAGCAAGUCCACUUAAGUAUGUCUUCAGACCCUCUUGUUCAUGAUAUCAAGAAUAAUUCUUCUAAAUCUCAUGAUCCUUCUAAAUUCGAAUUCAAGAACAACCUAUUCUAUUUCGAAAGAUGCCUACAUGUUCCAGAAGGAGAAGCACAUUUACGUAUUCUUCAAGCUCGUCAUGACUUUUCACCAGCAACACAUUUUGGAUACAAAAAGACUUUGGAGCAGAUAUCUAGGGAUUUUUGGUGGCCUCAAAUGUGGAAGGCAAUCAAAGAUUUUGUACAAUCAUGUGAUGUUUGUUCUAGAUCAAAAACUCCUCAUCAUCGAACUUUUGGACUUCUUCAACCAUCACCUAUUUUAGAACAACCAUGGUCUUCUGUUUCUAUGGACUUCAUCACAGAUCUUCCAAUCUCAGGUUCUUAUGACUCUAUAUUCGUGAUAGUAGAUCGUUUUACCAAUAUGGUAUAUUUUGUACCAUGUAUAAAAUCUAUCAUAGGUGAAGAAAUAGCUAAACUCUUUCUUAACAAUAUCUAUCACUAUCAUGGAUUAUCCAAGGAUAUUAUAUCAGAUAGAGGAACUCAAUUUGUAUCAAGAUUUAAGCGGAUUCUUUUUAAGAUUCUAAAAGUGGAUAUAAAACUAUCUUUGGCAUUCCAUCCUCAAAUUGAUGGAUAAACGGAGCAUGUUAAUCAAGUUUUGGAGCAAUAUUUAAGAUGUACCAUUAACUACCCAUAAGAUGAUUGGACAAUUCUUUUGUCAUUGGAAGAGUUUGCUUAUAAUAAUACGGUACACUCUUCUACAAAACAAACACCUUUCUUUACUAAUUAUGGUUAUCAUCUACGACUUGAUACUUUUGACUUUUCAAAAGUUGAUAAUCCUACUGCAAAAGAUUUAGCGAUUCAUUUGUCAGAGCUACAUGCAACGAUGAAGGCGCAGUUAAAACAAGCUCAAGAACAACAAAAGGUCAAUGCGGAUGUCUAUCAAAAGGAACAACCACCAUUCCACUUGAGUGAUAAGAUAUGGCUAUUCCAUCAUAAUAUCAAGACCACUUGUCAUUGUGACAAGUUGGACUAUCAAAGGCUACGACCAUUUUCUAUUUCUGCACAAAUCAAUCCUGUCGCAUAUCGUUUACAUCUAUUGGAGUCAAUAAAAAUCCAUCUAGUAUUCCACAUGUCUCUUCUUGAACCAUACAAGACAAUGGACAUACCAAAAAGAUGACAAGCUCCAUCUCUUUCUAUAGAAGUAGACAAUAAUGAAGAGUUUGAAGUAGAAGAAGUCUUAGAUUCAAGGCGAUGCCGAAAUAAAUUAGAAUAUCUUAUCCAUUGGUGUGGAUAUGAUAUUAGUGAAUGCACAUAGAAGCCAGUAAAGAAUCUUGCAAAUGCAGCAAAGGGGGUGGAGGCUUUUCAUCAAUGACAUCCAUCAAAAUCAAGAUGAAAACCUUCUUUAUAAAAGAAACAACAUCUAGACAAGAUAACAUUCUACUUUCAAUCCUUGUUUGUAGCUUCUUUGUAGUUGUGAUGCUCGAGAGAUGGAGAACCAACAACCAGCAGAUGUGACUCAAGAGCCUUCAUUUAUUGACCUACCAGACGAGAUAUUACGAUUGUCACAACCUUCAAGAAGAUGUAAUUGAGAUGAAGAUCUUCAAGAAUGACAUGUUCUUCCUUGAAUAGAUGGCGAGAUACAACACGUUUAGUAUUACGACUUCGAAAGGGACUCCCGAUGUUUUGUGAUUUUACUAGAAGUAGGAACAAUUCCUGAUAGUGUUCCAAAUGUUCUAUUCGAAGGAAGUUAUGAAGGCCUCAACAAUGAUCAAAUAAUUGGGUCGUCUUUCUGUCUUGGUAUGGGACACUACUGACAGUUGAGAAGCCCUAUCAAUCAUCUUCAAAGAGAACAAAGAUCAGAGUAUGUAGCGAAUACAAUUCGUCGCAUCAUAGAUUUCCUCAACAUAUGAUGACCGCUCCUCGUGGAACUCAUCCCUAGAGGAAGGGGGGGGGGGUAAUGUCAUAGACAUACUCAUGUAAGCUAGUAAUUACAUAAAUAAAUAGAUAGAAGUAAGUAAAAGUAGAUAAAAGUAAGUUAAUUCUAUAGUAUUUGGUAUGAGAGCUUCUUAGAAGCUUUAUAGACACUACUUUGACUUUAUAAGUGUCUUUAAUUGAUUUUUUGGAUUAGAAAUGUAGUCAACAAGUUGGCCAUGUACCACACAUGUUGUUAGCUUGAAGAUCAAGCUAACAAUGUGGCCCACACUUAGAAAAACUUACCUUGUAAGUUAAGGCAUGUAUCCUACAAAGUCAACACUUAUUGGAGGUCCUAUAGAACAUCGUCAUGUAGCCCCUAGUUAGAUAGUAUAUAUAGAGACAAGAGUGAAGCCUUCUUCACUCUUGUCAACUCCUUUUUUGCUUCCAGUCUAGUUUCAAGGGUCUCUAGUUUUCUUAUCUUUUGGCAAUAGCCAUUCCAGUUUUUCUUUUAAUAUACAUACUUGUUUAUUUAUAUUUUGUUACCUUUCUUUGAAUGAAGGCUCACUUGUCUAAAUUGCUUUUUCAUUGAGUUCUUCUCCUUCACAAUAGUAUAUUGUCGCCCUUGCUUAUACUCAAGCUAGAUAUCAAAAAGCUAUAAUUGUUAUUCUCAAUGAUGAUAUUUUAAUUUCAUAUUUUUUAAAUGUAAAUCAUAUAGCAAAGGUUGAUGGUUAGUCGAAACAACCACUAGCUUCCCCAAUUGAUAGUAUUUCCAGAACUUUGUAGUGUGUAUAAUUACUAAUUGCUCUCAAUUAUAUGUAGGAUAAUUGUACUUUGUCCACCUUAGCUUGUGUGAUUAAUAUGCCACAGAUUGAAGGUUCCUACCAAAGUCUUGUUAAUAGACCACUCUAAUAGGAAAGUUGGAAGCAUUAAUGUCAAGCAUACAAAGAAGGUUAGAAUUAUACAAUUGCAAUAUUAGAGCAGUAAUGAGUGCCUCCUUCAAUCUAUUAAAGGCACUUUACUACUCUAGUUUCUAUUCAAAUGAGACAUCUUUCUUCAAUAGAUUUAUCAAUUAGAUAAAAAUAUGAGCAAAUUUCUAAAUAAAAUGGAAAUAAUAUCUAGCAAGGCCUAAGAAUGACUAGACUUCAGAAGCAUUCUUGAGAGUUGGUAAAUCCUCCAUUGCUUUUACCUUAUUUUGCUCCAUAAACAUGUCUUCAAAGGACACCACAUGCUUCAAAAAGAUAACCUCUAACUUCCAAAGUUCAUAUUUUGAUUGCUUGCAAUAGAAGCAACUAUCUUAUAAUCAGUAUAGUACUUUUUAUAGAUAUUAUUUAUGCUAUUUAGAGAUUUUACUAUAUAUGAGGAUAUCAUCAAUGAAGACAACUAUACACUUAUCCAAAAGGUCCUAAAACAAUCUAUUUAUGUGACCAAUGAAAGAGGUUGGUCUAUUGGUAAGACCAAAAGGUAAAACUAGCCAUUCAAAAUAUCCAUAGUGCAUACAAAAUAUUAGCAUUUUUACAUCCUCUCUUAUAAUAGGUAUUUACCAUUAGCUAUUCCAAAGAUCCAAUUUACUAAAGAUGGUUGCACCUUGAAGUUGAUCUAGAAGAUCAUCCAAGUGUAGAAGUAGAUAUGCAUUCUUAUUAGUCUACUUAUUGAAGCCUCAAUAGUUGAUGCAAAGGCAAAUUCUACCAUCCUUCUUGAGUACAAAGAGUAAAAAUGCUAUCCUAUGGUGAUGUAUUUUUUCAAAUGAGAUCUUUCUCCAAGAGUUUGGCCAAUAUCAUCCGCAAUUCUUUAAGUUCUUUUGGUACUAGGUGAUAAAUUGGUCGACUUGUUGGUUUGGUUCCAAAGAAUAGUUCUAUUUGAAAGGGGGCACCUCAAUUAAGAGGCAUGCCACUAGGUAGGUCAAUUGGAAAGACAUCUUGAUAUUCUUAUAUGAAUUGAUUUGUCCAUUCUAUUCUUUUAGUUGUCUUUCCUACUACUAAGGCAAGAUUUGAAUCCACCAUAUAUACCAAUUGCUUAUGCUGUAUUUAUUUCUUCAUAAACAUCAUUUAUAUAAAUAAAUCUUUAGUUGUAGAUUGUCUUUCUUCUUUAUUUGAUGUGGAGGUAUGAAGAAUCACCUUGCGUCUACCAUCUUUAAAGAAGAUUGUCCUUCCUACACAAUCAAUUUGCUUAUUUUCUAUCUCUACCUAUGGUAUACCAAAGAUAAUAUCAUAUCUUAGCUUUUUCACCUUCAACCUCUCUCUUAAGACAUAUUUAUCAAUCAACCUCAUGGUUUCUUCUUCACAUGUCUUACUCAAUACAUUCUUUUAAUCAUUUCCAAGGUAUAUACUUCUUCCUUUGAUUGCCUUAAUUUUAAUUCUAAGUUGGUUGGCAAUUUCAAUUGAGAUGCAAUUUUUGUAAAGCCACAAUUUACAAGCACUUGACAUGAUUGUCUCUUUAGUAGUCCCAUUAGAUGUACUAGUCAAUUCUUUUUAUAGUUAUCUAAGGCCAUGUCAUUUGUCUUUAAGAAAUAUUAGUUAUGCCCAAUAUUGGCCCUCAAUGCCUUUAUUGAGGGGCCCUAUUUUCUUGCUCUGUCUCAUUGUCAACUUAGUGAAUUUUAAGAUUUUGAAUUUGCCUUGUUUUGUUAGUGCUUGAAUUUUGACAUUUAGGACAAUCUUUGAUCUGAUGGCCUAACUCUCAACAAUAGAAACACAAUUCUUUUUACACCAAUAUUUGUUGUCUUUAUAGUAUCAAUGAUCCUUAUACGGCAUCAAUCUCCAUUGGUGUUGGUUGUUGUGCCAUAGUAUUAGAUAGCAAUAUAGGACUUUGUGCCAUAGGUUGUACUCCACAAUUUUUGAAAUCUAUAGCAUCGACCCUCUGUACAAUCCAAAUUACCUCUUUGAAUGUUUGUGGAUCCCUUAGCUCUACUUCUUACUAGAUCCAAGGUUUCAAACCUCAUAGAAAUCAAUCUAUCAUCUUUGCAUCUAAAACAUUGCUAAUUUGGAGACAUAGAAACUUGAAUUGAGAGACAUAAUCUUGCACCGAAUUAGAUUGUAUAAGAUUUAUCAACUGAUUGUAUAUUAUCUUCUUUGCAUUGAUGGGCCAAAAUUUAUUCUUAAACUUGGUUUCAAACUCCUUCCAAUCACAAAAUCUAUCUUGAAUUCUAUAGCUUUGAACUCAAUGUUACCACCAAAUGGCUGCCACAUCUCUCAAAUAGUUGGCUGCAUAUAUAAUUCCUGUAGUGGUAUUUGCUCCAAAUAGUUGGAAGUAUUGUCACAUGUUAAAGAGCCAUUGACAUACAUCUUCUUGUCUUAAAGUCCUAGAGUAUAUACUAGGCUUACUCAAUUUCAGCCUAGUAGAUAUCGAUUCUCUUAUCCUUAAGGCUUCUAUUUGCUCUUGCAAAGUAGCUAUCAAGCCUAAAAAGUAUUGUAUUUGAGCCUCUAUGUGGGAUUGCUCUGUUAUAUCUCCUAUACUAUAAUUUCUUUGCUAGAUUCUACUAUUGUAAUGCCUUCUCAGCUCUCAAUUAAUUUUUUAAGAGUAACUUGUAAUAGCCUCAAUAUGGUACUUAGUGUGUCAACAACAAUUGACCUUGGAUUAGAUGAUGAUUAUUGACAUGCUAUCAAAAGUAAAUAUUCUAACACUUGGUCUAAUAUCAAUGAAAUAAGACUAGACUAUUUUAAAAAUCCAAAAUCCUUCUAAUUUAUAGUAACAUAAAGUCUUUUCAUAGAAUAGGACAAAAUAAACUAGAAAAAAAUUGAAUGAAAUUAAAUAGAAUGGGACAUGAAAGACAAAACUAAGUAACCAAAAUUAGAACAAAAUAGAAAAAAAUAAAAAGACACAAAAUCCAAUUGUAUUAAGAAAAAAGAUCUGAAGCCAUAUAUAAUCAGAUGCUCCAAAAGGUCCUAGCCAAUCCUAUUUAUACUUUAUUCUACCACCCUAGACUUUCUAAAAUAUUCUUAAGUGAUAGACUCCACAUAGAUAACCGCCUUAAAUUCCUUCUAAAAGGUUCUAUGAUAGGCCCAACUUAGAUAACUGUCCUAAACUCUUUCUAAAAUAUUCUACAGUAGAUUCUACCUAGACUACUAACCUAAUUCUAAUUUUAGAAACUUCUAUGGUUCUAACUAUUUAUUCCUAUGUAUCAAUAAUAUAAAUAUCUUAUCGAGGACUUAUUACACUAGUUGAAUAUAUAUGGAGGCAAGAGUAAAGCCUUCUUUACUCUAAUCAAUGCCUUUUUAGUCUUUAAGUCUUGUUUCAAGACUUUCUAGUCUUCUUGUCUUUGAUAAUAGCUAUUCUAAUUUAAUACUAUAUCAUCUUUGAAUGAUUUUUUAGUCUUUUUGAGUGACACAAGAAUAUAUUGAAAUUUUUCUUUUUUUGAAAUUUAUGUCUUUGAUACCAAAUCAACAACAUUACAAUUAUAUAAGUACUUCAUUAUUGAUGUUCAUAUUAGAAACAAUCAUUGGCAUAUAAAGCAAUAUAAUAAUCUUCAAUAAAUAUAUCCAUAGUUCUAUCUUCUAUAUAAGAAUAUGUUUAAUAUAUAAUAAAUAUGUCAAAACAUCCAUGAUAUAAAAAUGACUAAAUAAUCUAACAUAUAAAGCAAGCACAUAAAAUCUAAGGUGAUUUAUAGUCCGAAAUUGUACUUAGUGAUAGUAUUUUCUUUCUCCUUGUAUAAUUGAGAAGUAAUGAAAUGAACAUUCUUAGAUAAAGAAAAGAAGAAGACAAAGAAGAACAUAUAUAUAUGAUCAUACACCAUGCAAUUGACAUGAAAUAAACUUAAGUAAAGCCAAAGUUAUAUAAUACAUACAACAAAACUACUAAAUAUUAGUACAACUUUUAAGAGUAGUAUUGACAAAACCUUUGUGCUCUAUAUAUUGAAAUCUCUGGAUACAAAAGAAAAGAAAAAUGCUUCAAAAGAGUAACUAAUAAACUAAAAUUAUAAAAAUGUAAGAUAAAGUAUAGACAACCUUUGCAUUAAAGAUGCCAUUGCAAUAAACUUGCUUGUCCUUACUAAGAGAGUGUGUGUCAUGGACAUACAUUAGAAGAUUCUUUGAAUAUUCUUCUAGAAUAUUCUCUAAAGAUUCUCUAAAGAUUCCUUUAGAAGGUUCUAGAAGAUUCUUAGAAUAUUCCCUAAAGAUUCUCUUAGAAGGUUCUAGAAUAUUCUGAUAGAUUCUAGGAAGUUGCUCGAGAAGUUUCCUAAUUAAUAGAAGUUGUUGGAGAAGCGUCCUAGUUAGCGGAAGUAGCUCGAGAAGCUUCCUAUUCAGUAGUAUAUAUAGGAGUCGAGGCUGAAGGGUUCUUCAGUCUCGACAACACAUCUCUUGGAGUUCUAGCUCACCUUUCUGGUGUUGUUCUUGUACUCAUCUGUUUAAUCUAGUUCUGCCACUUCUUCUUGAACUUCUUGUUAGAUUUCAAGUCUGUAUUUUGUGUCCGUGACAGUUUGUCGAGACUACAUUUUCACUGGUAUCAGAGCUAGUUCCUUCUUGUUAGAGAGUGGAUUACCCCUCUUCUUGAAGGUGUGCUAGUGUUUUAGAGGUUGCGGAUUACCCUCCUCUAAACUGAUAUCUCUUCUUUCUCAAUAUUGGAGCCUUAUUCUUCUUGGAGAGAGUGGAUUACCUCUCAUCUUGGAGUCUUAAGGCGUUUUAGAGGUUGCGGAGUACUCUCCUCUGAACCAAUAUUGUCCUCUUGUCAAAACUCUUUUUUCUUCUUUCUGAAGGUUAGCCGAAGGUUAAGACGUUAAAAUGGCUAAAAGUUUGGAAUCCAAACUAGACGCCAUCAUAAAUGCUCUUGCCUCGUUGUCACAUAGGACAACAGAGAUCGAAGGAGUCAUGGUAGGACUCCAUAACAAUGGAGCAUCUAGGAUAGCGCCAUCUAAAGCAUAUCAGCCUCAAACUUCUGCGCCAGAAGAAGCAGUUCUACUUCCAUUUCAACAAGAUCGAGUAGUCCUACAACGAAAGGAGCCUCGAGUUAGUCUUCCGGAUAAGUUUGAUGGAACUCGUUCCAAGUUUCGAGGUUUUGUCAACCAAAUCAGGUUGAUAACAAUUUUACAGCCCGAACGUUAUCCGACGGAGGAAGCGCGUGUUGGGCUUGUUGGAACCUUGCUCAUAGCACAAGCUCUGUCUUGGUUUACUCCCUUGUUCGAGAAGCGAUCGCCAAUCCUGAGCAACUUUGAAACGUUCUUGGAGACGUUUGCAGAAGCAUUUGGCGAGCAUGAUAAAGUUCGAUGGGCUACAACAAAGAUCCGAUCGCUACGACAAGGAACACGCUCUACAUCAGUCUAUGCCUCGGAUUUCAGACAAUUGGCAAGUGACAUUAAUUGGGGUGAAGAGGCAUUGGUGAGUCAGUUUUAUUGGGGCUUGAAGGAUGAUGUGAAGGACUUGCUGUUAUCUCUUCUUGAUCCUCAAACGCUCAACGAAGCUAUUAGCCAAGCUGUAAAGUGUGACAACCGCCUAUUCCAGCGUCGCCAAGACCAACGCCCAAGACACCAAAUGACUCGUUACGACGUGACUAUGUCUGCAAAUAGCUUAAAUUCACAUUCGGAGGCAACAGACAUGCAAAUCGACACGGCGCGUGUCCGAUCUCUUAUUCCAACAGAGAAGAAACGGCGUAUGGAGGAAGGGUUAUGUUUGUACUGUGGAGAAGAAGGUCACAAGGUUGGAAAUUGCCCCAAGAAGCAAAAUUGGCACCCUGUCAAGACUAGAAGUGCGAUGAUUCUGGAAAACAACGACGCCCAGCCACAGUAGGAACCGUGCGGCUGGACAAUCUAAUAUCACGACAACAAUCAGGUUCCUCCUUCUCUGUCCAACCUGCCCGUUGUUUUACAAUUCCUUUGUUUUUAGGCCCUCAAAAACAAAAAACUUUAGCUUUAUUGGAUUCGGGGGCAUCUACUUGUUUUUUAGAUGAAGAGUUUGCUAAACGCCACAAGAUCCGUUUAGUACAGAAGUCCAAACAUGUUCACGUAGAGGUGAUAGAUGGACGACCCUUAUUGUCAGGCAACGUUACCCACGAAUCAGAACCUAUAGAAGUGGUGUUUAAGGACCAUAUUAGUCACGUUAUUUUUAAUAUUAUUAGAACCCCAUCAAGCCCUGUUAUCCUUGGUCUUUCUUGGUUAGAAGAUCAUAAUCCGUCCAUUAAUUGGAGGCUACGAAGGAUAACAUUUCCUGAAAAAAAUAAUAAUAAACCUGUUGGUAGAACCUACAUGAAGAAAUCCAUGUUUAUUGGAGCGAGAGCGUUCCUAAGAUCGUCCAAGGAAGGCGCACCAUUUGUCAUUUAUGCAGCUCCAACUAGCGGCGAGAAUAUCUCAACAUCAAAUAUACCAGAGCAAUAUAGGGAUUUUGAAGACGUGUUUCAAAAGAAGAACGCCGAUAUACUGCUGGAACAUUGACCAUAUGAUUGCGCCAUAGACUUAGAGGAAGGAGCGCAACCACCUUUUGGUCCAAUAUACAACCUAUCGCAGACGGAGUUGGCAGAAUUGCGGAAGUACAUCGAUGAGAAUCUAGCCAAGAAUUUUAUUCGAUAUUCAAAGUCGCCAGCUGGAGCACCAAUCCUAUUCGUGAAGAAAAAAGAUGGCUCACUGCGGAUGUGCGUGGACUACCGAGGACUCAACAAGGUGACCAAGAAAAAUCGCUAUCCCUUACCUUUGAUCUCCGGCCUCUUAGAUCAACUUGGACGUGCAAGGAUUUUUACAAAGAUUGAUUUAAGAGGAGCCUACAACCUUGUGCGAAUCAAAGAAGGAGAUGAAUGGAAGACAGCCUUUCGUACAAGGUAUGGCCAUUUUGAGUACAAUGUCAUGCCUUUUGGUCUUACCAAUGCUCCAGCGGUCUUUCAGCAUAUGAUGAACGACAUCUUUCGGGAGUACCUCGAUGACUUUGCUGUCAUCUAUCUAGAUGAUAUUUUGAUAUUUUCCAAGAAUGAAGAAGAACAUGAGAAGCACGUUUGUUUGGUUCUUGAAAAACUACGCGAACGAGGACUCUACGCCAAGUUGGAGAAGUGUCAAUUUCACCAGAAUGAGAUGGAAUUUUUGGGCUUCAUUGCGACUACAGAGGGCUUGAAGAUGGAUCCAAAAAAGGUAGAAGCAAUUAUAUCUUGGGAAGUUCCGAAGACGGUUAGAGAUGUUCAGUGUUUUCUUGGAUUUGCUAACUUCUAUCGGAUCUUCAUCAAGAAUUAUUCUCAAGUUGCUGCACCACUCACGCGUCUAACAAGCAAAGACAAGCUCGAAUGGGGAUCACAAGCAGCAAAAGCAUUUCAAGAUCUCAAGACGGCAUUCACUACGACUCCAAUCUUGGUACACCCUGACUUUGCAAAGGCUUUCUAUUUAGAGACCGAUGCUUCAGAUUUUGCUUUGGGAGCUGUGCUUUCACAGAUGGGCAUAGACAAGAAGCUUCACCCAGUUGCGUUCUAUUCACGGAAGUUCUCUGCUACUGAGAUCAACUACGAGAUCCACGACAAAGAGCUGCUUGCUAUAGAGGAUGCCUUCCAAGAGUGGCGUCACUUCCUCGAAGGAGCUACACAUCCAGUGACUGUUUAUACGGACCACAAGAAUUUGGAGUACUUCAUGACAGCUCAAAUUUUGAAUCGUCGUCAAGCUCGAUGGAAUAUGUCUCUAUCACGAUUUGACUUUAUUAUCACCUACCGCCCUGGAAAAUAGCAAGGAUUAUCUGACGCAUUAUCGAGGAGAUCGUAUCUUGCGCCAAAGGCUGGAGAAGCAGCGUUUGAUCAACAAUGUACAACAUUGUUGAAACCAGAAAAAUUCAAGAUCGUUAUCAUGGCCUACCAGAUGAUAUCGUGUCGGAUCGAGGUACUCAGUUUGUAUCCAAGUUUUGGAGGUCCCUCUUUGAGAUAUUGAAGGUGGAUAUUAAGCUCUCUUCGGCUUUUCAUCCUCAAACUGACGGUCAAACGGAGCGAGUGAAUCAAGUUUUGGAGCAAUAUUUACGAUGCAGCAUCAACUAUCAACAAGAUGAUUGGACUGCAUAUCUACCGCUUGUUGAGUUCGCAUACAACAACACUCUUCAUGCGUCAACUCAACAAACACCAUUCUUCUCCAACUACGGAUACCACCCCAAGCUCGAUUUAUUGAAUUCUUCAGCAAAUAACAACCCAGCAGCUGAAGGAUUUGUGAAGCAACUAUCGGAGCUUCAAGCGACGUUGAAGCUUCAAUUGCAAUCUGCCCAAGAGAGUUACAAGGCAUCUGCAGAUAAAUAUCGAAAUGAGGCGCCUACUUUUAAAGUUGGAAGUAAAGUAUGGCUUCUUCGAAGGAAUAUCAAGACCAAGCGGCCAUGUGACAAAUUGGACUAUCGGAGAUUAGGGCCAUUUGUUAUCGAGAAGCAGAUCAAUCCGGUGGCAUAUCGUCUGGAGUUACCAGCUACUAUGAAGGUACAUCCAGUCUUUCAUGUGUCUUUGUUGGAACCUUAUCGAGAGUCAGCUUUUCCCCAAAGAGUACAAAGUCCGCCACCAAGUAUCGAAAUUGAAAACCAUGAGGAAUACGAGGUGGAAAAGGUACUAGAUUCACGGCGUAAUAGGAGAAAAUUGGAGUAUUUAGUGCAUUGGAGUGGAUACGACAUCAAUGAACGAACGUGGGAGCGUGCCAAAAAUCUUGCCAAUGCACCAAAAAAGGUACAAGAAUUUCAUCAACGAUAUCCUCAUAAACCUAAGCCGAUUCAACGAUAGCUUCUUGCUGAAGCUUGCUCAUCAAGUAGCAUAAAAAGGGGGGAGGGCACCUCCAAAACCCAUAGUUCGAUAGUGUAGAACUUUGUUAGCAACUAUAGUUUGCUCUCAUCAUUUUAGCCUUUGGACAUGGAUAGUCAAGAUACUACACUUGUUAUGUCAUCUCAAGCGACUAGCUCACGAAGACGACCGCGAGAUGAAGAACCGCCUGCACCACGACGACGUCGGAGGAUACUGAGCAACAGAUCGCUAGUAAUUGUAUUUGAGGUCGAGCCUGCCUACGACGGUCAGCCAGAAGGUGUGUUUGGAGGACAGUUUCACAAUGAAGACACAGAAGUCCACGCUUGGUCAGAGGUUGAAGGUAUUGGUCACUAUCGUUGGCUCCAAGGGCCGAUGAAUCAUUUGCCUCGCGAACAACAAUUGGAAUUCAUAGCGGAUGUGAUGCGACAGAUUUUCAUUUUCUUGCGUUGGUAUUGACUGAUAACAACAUUGCUUCUCGGAGACCACGAAGUUAGAAGAGGAGGUGAUGUCAUGGACAUACAUUGGAAGAUUCUUCGAAUAUUCUUCUAGAAUAUUCUCUAAAGAUUCUCUAAAGAUUCCUUUAGAAGGUUCUAGAAGAUUCUUAGAAUAUUCCCUAAAGAUUCUCUUAGAAGGUUCUAGAAUAUUCUGAUAGAUUCUAGGAAGUUGCUCGAGAAGUUUCCUAAUUAAUAGAAGUUGUUGGAGAAGCGUCCUAGUUAGCGGAAGUAGCUCGAGAAGCUUCCUAUUCAGUAGUAUAUAUAGGAGUCGAGGCUGAAGGGUUCUUCAGUCUCGACAACACAUCUCUUGGAGUUCUAGCUCACCUUUCUGGUGUUGUUCUUGUACUCAUCUGUUUAAUCUAGUUCUGCCACUUCUUCUUGAACUUCUUGUUAGAUUUCAAGUCUGUAUUUUGUGUCCGUGACAGUAUGCUUAUCAAUUGACCAUUUCAUGCCAAAAAAUCUUUGGCUCAUUCUUGUUUAAAAAAAUAUUUGAGAAUUGCAAAUAUAUGUAACAACCAUUGAGCUUUUCUCUUAUCAAUGUAUAAAUUUGUUGGUAGACAUUGUGAUCAUUUUCAAUAACAUAACUAUCUUUGAUAAAUUACUACCAAUUUUAAUUAGAUGAUAAAGUGCAACCUCAUAAAAAUUAAAAACUUUAUCAACCUGAAAAGAAUUUGGAACUCAUAUUUCAACAAGAAAAUUUCAAUGAACAAGUAAGUAGCAGUACCAAGAACAAAACUAUAAUUGAUUCUUUAUUUGGUUCUUAUUCUUUGAAAGUAAGUUGUACAUUAUAGUGAAUAUAAUUGAAUGUAUAGAUAGCAAAAGGAUAUUUUCUAUCUAUUAUUUCUAUAAUAGAAAAUAAAUAUUAAAUAAAAUAUUAAAUAAUAAUUACAAAGUAGUUUGAUUUAAGUAGGUGAUUUCUUUUAAAUACACCAUUUUAUUUGUAAAUACCUAUUUGAUAAUUAUAAUAGAAUUUUUUUCAUUUUAAAAAUUAAAAAUAUUAUCAAUUGUUCCUAGUAUAUAUUGUUCAAUGUUAGAAAAUCUUUGUAUUAUGAAUUUACUUAUAUAAUAAAAUAAAAAAGAUACCAAAAAGAAAGUUGACAAAAUAAAAUAUGAAAAAAAGACUCUUGAAUUUGGAAGAAUAGGUUUUUACUUAGAACAUUUUCAUUACCAAAGAAAAAAAAUCUAAUACAUUUAAAGUCUAAAUUAAAAAUUAAAAAUUUUAGGGACUCCAUCCUUAGAAAUUCUUGUAAAAAGUGUUGAUCUUUAAUCUUGCUUGCUAAUCAAUUAGUAAGGUUGUUGUAGGAGGCAUUUAUUGCAAGUAUGAAUUAGGCCACAUACAAUAAUACUUUAUGCAUCAUAAACCUAAUCAAUUGAUUGCAGCAUGAGCUCUACAAAAAAUAGAUUUAGAAUUGGUUUUUUUUUUCACCUUAAAUACAUGAUUCUAUGUGCAAGAAUGAUGAGAAAUGUAUAAGAAUUAAUUGAAACUCAAGAAAUGGACAAGAAUCUAUAAAAUUGUAAGAGGAAUCUAUGGAAACUUGAAGAACUCAUGGAAUUUAUAAGAACCAAUGGAAAUUCAUAGAAUGCAAAAAGAACGUAUGAAAAUCUUUAAGAAUUUAAGAAACACAUAAGAAUUCACAAGAAUCCAUAGAAACUUGAAAAAAUCACAAGAACACAUAGAAACUUAGGAAUACAUAAAAAUUCAUAAGAAUACAAGAAUAUUUUUUUGUACUGAAUGGCACAAGUUUCUAUUAUGUAUCUAUUUCACAAUGCACUUUUUCAAAUAUAAUCAAAAUCCUAUAUCUUAAGAAUAAAAAAGAAAAAAAAAUACAAUAAAAUUAAUUUAUUUCAAAGUUCUUUUGAUUUAUUUAUUUAAAUAAUUGUAGUAAAUAAAAAUUAUAUUUUUUUAAUUACAUUGAAGAAACAUAAAUAAUUACAUUUUUAUGAAUAUAUUAUUUUUAUUAUUUAUAUAUAAAUAUAUAUAUUUAUUCAAAUAUUUUUUUAUAAAAAAUCUUUAAGAGUGAUCAAUUUUUAACUUUGCAACCAAAAAUUAAACUUUUACAGCUUUUUUGUGGCCAAUUGCAUGGAUUUCCACUAAUUACUAAUUAAAUCACAAAAUAAACUUAUAUGAACAUAGACUUAAAAAUAUGAAAAUAAAUAAAUAAAUAAACAUCGUAACAGAUUAAUAUUGGCAAGUAGAGUUUCUUUGAAUGAUAUAAGAAAAACUGGGAAGCUUCAAGAUGUGCAUUUAUCGACGAAAAGAAAAUCGUCAACGAUCUUUCGUUCGUUCGUCUGUUAAAGCUAUUAGAGGCAUAAACCAUUCUCGUCAAUUCCGACCAGUCCCAUAUGAGCCCUAUUCAAACGGCAUUCUCAGCUAUCCCUGUCGCUACCAUCCAGUGCAACUCAUCAUUACAUGGUUGUUGGAACCACAUCCCUUUUCACACCUCCGCCAAAUUUCAAAUCCUCCGAUAAGGAAAGGUUGCUUUGCUAAUUCCCCUCAAAAACACUCGCCGCCCACCAGAGCAUUGAGAUUUGGCUCCCGCUCUUAUUCUUGAAUUCUGUCAUCGCGGCACCUUAAUUUAGCCUUCUAGAAUUUUCCUACUUUGAUGUGGUUUAUUUUGAGGAUGGUUUGAAGACUAUUUCCGGCACCAUUGGUUCCUUAAUUCGCCGAAAUAGUGGUUUACUUUGGGCUUAGUCUACCGUGUGGACUGAUGUCCAACUCUGUGAAGGGGGAGAGGCUGCAGAGUUUUGAAUUUGAAAUGUUGCAGGCUGUAUAGAGUGCUGAGGUGUUUGUGGUGGUGGAAUUAGCUCUUGUGAGUAGAGCAGAUUGAGAUUCUACGGGGGAGAGACGUGCUGGAUGAGAGGUUGGUACGCGAGGAAUGGCUAGAGGUUUGAUGAAGAAUUUUUGUCAUGUGUGAAUAUUCUUAAUGGGAUUUGUCGAAUUCUGUCCUAAGGUCGCCUUCAAAGUGGGCGAGGAGAGGAACACCGCAAGGGAGAGGUCGAUUUUGCGAGCUCGGAUGACUGAGAAGUGAGCGGAACUAUGUUUAUCUACCAGGUACAUCUUCCAUCGGCUUUCCACGAUGAGUGUUGUGGUGCUGCUCCAUUUUCUUUGAGCUGGACAUCACUUAAUUUGUGGAGUGCAAUCUUGUUCUGGUCUGUCGUUGAGUAAACUAAUGUAAUCUCAAGUGGGUAAGAACGUGACAAUGAGAUGUUUUGCUUAGUUGUUCCUUCAGUUUCUUGUCAGUUUCUUGUCAUUCGUCCUGCUGAUCUUUAGGUGGGGGGGGGGGGAUUUGUGUUUUGAUCAUUUACGAAGCCCUCACGAUGCAAUGUGAGCUUCGUAGAGCAUUUUAGAACAUCAGUAGUAUUGAAUGUUCGUUGGUUAUCCAAACAAAAUGUGUCGUUUACAUGCCUGAAUAGUCUGAUACACACAGACGACCAAGCUUGUACAACAGUUGUCAAUGGCGCGGAAGGGAUGAAUCCUUUAAGAAAAGAUGGACUAGGCAACAACUAUCAAGUUGCUCGAGCUUCGUCAAAGAAAAUCAAGAUCUGAAUUAUGUAAUCCGCACUAAUGUGGCCCUCUGCGUGCAACAGGAUAUCUACCAGUGUGGUGCCACUCCGGUGUUAUCUUGGUUCUUGUGGUUUUGAUUUGGGUGGGCCUCCAACAUGAUUAACUGCAUGGUAAGUCGCCGACUUGGCCCUGGGCGUGCCGGACUAGCACCCCGGCUCGUAAUCCCAGAGACACAAAUUUCUAUUUCCCCAGAAUUCCAGGGUUAUUACCCCGACGACAAUGUACUCUAUAACCGAAGAUUGUCGUCGAUACACGGAUACGGAGGAGAUGGAGCAUUUUCACAGAAAUCGGGAAUGUUUUCUCUUCAAGGAUUUACCGUUGAUGGACGGCCUACCAUACUCGACGGCGGAGAAGAUAUAAACGAAAUCAUGGAGCCAACGCCAAGACCGGGCCGAGGCGAAAAAAUGUUGAGUAAGCAUUUUAUUGCUCCAAGUGCAAGGUGCAACAGGCGAGCUUCACUUCACGGAUGCGAUUUCCAUUUCACUCAAGGAACCUCUGCUCUAGAGUCAGGUUAUUUUCCAUCUCAUUGUCGUUGCAUUCAUUUAGAUUUAGAACCCUCUAUUGUAGCGUUUCCCAUGACAGGGUAUGUUACACUACUCGUUCAAGAUCUUGAAUCUGAAGAGUUAAUGUUUUAUAACUAUUGGUUUGCAAGUAAUGUCUAAUACCUUCUUACUAUUUUCGUUGCAGACUCAGUAUUGCAUCCGAAAGAGGUACUCUACCUACAGAAAAUUGCAUUGGCAAGUAAUGAGGAAGCUCGCAGGAAGGACCUUUCCAAUGGGAUGGCGCAUAUUUCUCUGGACGGGCGUAUAACUAACGCCGUUUCUGCAACUUCCUCCGCCACCAUAGGAGGGGAUUUGGGAGAGGAGGAGGCCCAAGCUUGGGAUUGUUUUGCACCUUUGCAACGGGUGUUAAUUGUGGCUGUAGCUGCUGCAGCUGCCGCAUCUAGUAAACACAAAAACCACAAAGAAAUCAAUCGCCUGCAAAAAGAAGUGCAUGCACAGGUGAGCUCAACUUGGUAGUUCUUCUUGUGGUUUGAUCCAUUCUGACGAAUCCUGCAUUGUGUUAUUCGAGCAUCAGUGGCUUUCAAGCGUUCCCAAAAUGUGAUGCUGAUCUUUCCAGUUUUUGCCUCCAUGACGUUUUUUUUUUGAAGAUACUUACUAGCGAUGGAAAGAUAUCAUAAAUUGAUUACUGAAUCGUGCACAGGAGAACGCCCUGUCGCUCAUGAGACGAGAACUUAGCAACCUGUGGGAUCAAGUUGCCGCAGAAGAAAACGGCCCCCUCUCUUUUAGGUCUCCUAGUAUAGAACAUAUUGAUCAGAAAUCAAGGGCAUCAAGUCCAGCCAUGCCGCUGAAGGGGAGGCAAGCAUCGAACUCCGAGGAACCAAGUAUAGAAACACCGAAAACAUACCAGAGACCCAAAUGUGAAUUAUCUGAUGGUCUAAUAAACUACGAUCAAUUUAAAGAUGGCCCCGUCAGCCAAGAUGUCUACAUUGUAGAGUAUCCCAAAGCUGUGGUCGAAGAAGUCCAAUUAGGAGAGGCUGAGUCGUUCAGUAAUCAACUGACAGAAAACACUUCACGGAGCCGAGAUGAUGAUGAAAGCGAGCAUUACUUUGAGGAUUGCACACCUGAGAAACGACAGAGAAUAUUCUCCAGAUUUGCAUUAGAUGCGAAGGAGCCUGCAGAGUGGACGCCUGUGAAGUCCUCCUUCACGACAUUAAGUGCUGGCGGCAUCACUCCACUAACCAACAAGAAGAGAUCUUCUUUCGAGGCACAUUUCUUUUCCCAACGUGCUCUAGUUUGAUGUAGAUAUGGAUCCCACCUUUUGGAAAUUAACGCACCUGAUUAUAUAAUUUCAACGUACUGGUUUCACUUCCAACUUUGCACAUUGUGCUGAUGUAAUUCUCAUAUGACUAAGACACAAACUUUCCAGUCCUCAAUGUCUAACUGAAGCUGUGUUUUUUGCUUUUGGUCUUCAUUUUAGCAGAGUUCGAUUGCCUAUUCUAAAGGUUCGGAGCAAUGCUCAGAUUUGGAGGAGUUGAAGGCACGACGUGCUACUAUGCUCCUCGAAGUGAAGGUGAGUAUUAUGGCAAUUUUUGAUUGCCUCAGUCUUUCUGGAAUUGAACCCUGUGUGAGCUUAUCUUGGUGGAACCGAUCACGCAGUUCUUAAGUAUGCUCUCAUCGGUAGUUAUGAUUGGUAAUGAUUCAGUGUGGUAUGUAGUCGAGACCCGCUAUGCAUAAUCUCCUUUCUAAAUCCGCAAGAAUUAAUGUGAAUGCAGAACCAGGUGUCGUCAGUUCUGGAUAAAGAGGCCUCGCAUGUCAUGGCUGCCCUCUCUCACGUCAUUGAGAAGGUGAUGUGUUCCCAUUGCUGGACUAUUCCUCGUAGGAUCCAGGAGAUAUUCCACCUGUAAGAUUUUUCACCGGAGCUAUUCCAUCUCACCAAGAGAAAUGCGUACUAAUAGUCGGUGGUUUUGCAGGCUCAAAAGUUAGAGAAAGCCGACAGAACAAACUCAUUGACACGACGUGCAAAUACACCCGAGAAGAAAGCCCGAGGUAUUUGUUCUUGCCAGAUUGUCAGGUUUGACUAGAGUUUUCCAUAAUAAGCAUGGAGAGCGGACAACUACAUUUUAUGAUCCCAGGCUAUCAUGUAAUCAUUUAGACCCGCGUAAGCAUUGUUUCAAUCUGUCAUAAGAAUUAGGAUCGGUUACUUGUAAACAGGAGCGAAACUCACAUAUUUGGGUAUUUUUUUUGUGGCAGCUUCGACUGCUUUGAAGCAGAGUGUAGAAAAAGCAAGCGCACAGGUUGCGUCACUUCAGUCAGCUGUGGUAAACAUCUGGCAUACUAUCGGACCAGAUACACUGGCGUCCCUCAAUCCGUCACCGCUGGAGCUUGAGAGCUUUCUACUUCAAGUGACGAAGGUUAAUUCAACAAACCAUUUACAGUAAAUUUUAAUUAGAUUCUGUAUUUUCUUCGAAAAUGACUAAUGAACAGUAUCUUAUUGUAUUUUAUCCACAUUUUGUCAUCUCUUUGGAAAAGAAGUCCUCAGUUUGGACCUUUAGUGAUGAAGGUUCCAACUGAGUGUGUUCUCUGUUGGUAUUGCUGACAAUAAAAGAUGCAUUGAAUUUUCGGAGCAUUUUCAGGACACUCUCAUGAACAAGGAACAAAAACUUGUGCCCACUAGUGAGGAAGGAAUACAGGAAUGGAAGCAAUCGUUACAGCUCAAGCAACUUGAAACAGCCUUGCCCUCGCCGCUGAGCAAGACUGGAACUGCAGCAAUCAUAUCCUCUGAAGUCGAAAAUCAGGUGGUAUGCUCUCCUAGCUGGAGAAAUAAAGGCAUUGAAAUAGCUUCAGCAAUAAGGGUUGCAGUUCGAAAGACUGUGGAUUCAUUGAUGGCUCCCUUGGAUGGAAGGAAAGCUGCAGAGAACUUUGAUAGUCCAGAGGCAAGAAAACGGGUGUCUUCUCUCUCAGAAGAUGCACCUCAAUUUCUUGCUCAACAGCUACUAGGAGAGCUCGAGAAGGCCGCUGCCAAGGUAGCCCUAAAUGCAGAUGGAUGUAGAAGUUACAUUUUCUAUCUUUGUUUCCACAGUAGAAACAGCCAUGCCUUUUUAACAAUGUGGUGCCUGUCGCCACGUAUGUAAAACUAGUUGUUUUCGAUUGUUUUCGAAUUAAUGCUCCAUGCACACGUCCCAAUAUCUCAAGCUACAAAUGUCAUGGCGUUUGAGGAUUAGGCAGUUAAGAUUUGCAUCUUUUUGACAUCGCUCAUCAACGGUGCAUUUGAUUCUCUAAUCAUUGUGAAUUCGGUUGGUAUUGCGCUUCUACCAACCUCAGAUUUCAGGAAUGGAAUGCCAGAUGCUCAGUUUGAAACGAAGUGUGCGAGAGACUGACGCUAAACGAAAGAAAGCUGAGAUUAAGCUUGCGGAGGCAAUAGCUCGUGACCACCAAAACCAGGUGAGACAAAAAACGACGACAACUGUGAUUUUUUGCACCUGUUUCGCAGAGGGCAUGUGAUCCUAUACUUUCUUCCUAUUCGUUAUGUAAUUAUUGAGGUAGCAACAUCACGUAAAUUUCCACGAUCUCAGGAAAAAUUCGAAAGGGAAAUGAGUGAGCUUACAGCGAAGCUUCGGGAGAAGGAGUCCGCCUACGACGAGUUAAUGCGGAGCCGUAAGGUAAUAUUCCAGGGUGAAGACGUGCACAUGGUUUGAACCAAAUUUACUUUGCAUAGUGCAGCAAAAGGAACUGUUCUUUAACAUGAAAUGAAUCAGCUCUGCCAGAAGUAGCGAGAAUUUCUGUCAUGCUUAGAGUGUCGUCAGUGUCAUGAGGCAUUCUUACUCAGAUGAUGUUGGGAAAUGGUUAAUUUUUUUUGGAAAUGGCUUCAUGAUAGAAAUUUGGAGCUGCUGAUGCUCAAUAUUCAUUGACUUGAUUGAGCAUCAGGUUUUCACCUACUGAUAUGAUAUUAAUCUCUGGUUUGAGAUGAACAGGUUAUGUAUUUAGUGAAAUCGAAGGAGAUUGAUGAGCUUAAAAAAGACUGCCAGAUGCGUGAUGCUGCCCUUGACGGUAUCACUGCUGCCGCUCAAGCAACUCGAGAAGCAAGUGAUCAGGUAAUACAUAAAUUUGCUGACUGCGUUUUGUUUCUAAGUAAGACCAUACACGUGAACACGUCCGCUAGCAGAUACAAAACUUCUUUUCCCUUCCUCAAUUCUGACGCCUCAUAAUUCUACAACUUGAUUUGAAAGAUUGAAAAGAUGGCUUGAUUUUGUGGACAAUUGUGCAGAGAUUGGCAGUUUUGGAGGACAUAUGCAGACGCAAGGAUUCUGCAAUUCAGGAGCUCAAGGAGGAAAUUAUUGCCCUAGAGGACAAGGUAAUAUGCAGUUUACUAGCCCACUGAUCUACUUUUCCCUGACAAAUAUCUCGAUAUCACGUCUACUUGAAAGGCCGGCCUAUGAAUAGUUCAUCAUGUUAUGAGCGUUCAUCACUGCUCGAAAAUGCUUCAUCUAUUUUUAGAUCGCUAGAAUAAAUUUAAGUCGUUUCCUUGUCAUGAUUGCCUGUUUUGAGGAUGGUCAUUGAAGGCUCUCCCUUUCAUUUUCUACAGGUCCAUGAGCUCGAGCUCCGUUCCCCUCUCUUGCUUAGCCGUAAUCACAGACGCAAUAUCUCCUUACUCCGGUCUCCUACCAAGGAAGUUCUAGCACUUGAAAACACGUUCAACGGAAUCUCUCAUGAAAGAGAGCAAAUGCAGAUUUCUUCCCUUUCACGCGGAAAGACUGAAGAUUUCCAAUCCAGCAUAGAUGAUACUUUUGGCCAUCCGCAAUCAUCUCUCAAUUACACGAGUCGAAAUACUAUGGACUUUUGUGCUGAAGUCCACGGAGACCAAGCAGAGAAUCGCCGCGUCAUUGUCCCUCUGGGCAAUGAAUCGGCUGUCUCGUGCACCAUGGCUGAAAGUUUUACUCAUCUGAGAGAGACAUCUUCGGUACAUAGCAGAGUGCAGGAGUGUUCAUCUUCAAGCGUACUUUCGACUCUCUCCAUCGACGGAAGUAUGUUUCCUUCCCCUACCUGCACGUUGUUCGACGACUUCUUGGAGGUAGAGAGCUCCCUGCAAGCAUUUGCAGCGAAAGAAGGGUGCCGUCUUGAUGACUUCGGAACACGUAACAACACGGGCAGUCUUUGCCCCUCGCAAGAGUAUUUCUCUGCUGAAGGCAAUCUUAACUCAGGGCUUAAGCAGCUCAACAAUACCACAGCAAGUAAGUGUCGAUGUUAUCCAAUCAUUCGUUGAUUUCUUUUCUGGAUUAUUUAUCGUCGAUACCAGUAAGCUUUUGAGCCUUUGAUUAAGCUAUUUUUUCCAUAUAUAAUUGUCCACAGUUUCGUUACCAGCCAGAAGCUUACAUUUUGAGAAAGCAGUGGAGAAUUCCCGCAAUAAUUUUUCACAACGAAUAUAGGAUAAAUAUCUGUAGCUGUGGAACUUUGGAAAUUGUAUUCCUAAAUUGUGGGUAUUCUUUUUUCAUUAGGCACUGGUACUGAGUCUGCUGGAAGCAACACGAAACUUGCUAAGUCACGACGAGCGAAAGGCCACUUUUCUCUGACGUCUGCAGGCGAGCACAAGAAAUCUAGCGGAGUCUUGCGACCAACUAAAGCCAGUUCUCUCAAAGUUCAGGGUAAGAUCAAAGCGAACAAGGAGAAGGAGAAUUUUGUUCCGCAGCAGGACGAAGAAAUCAAUUGGGUAAAUGUAGCUUCAUUUGAAUUCGGUAGUUCUGUUAAAGGCUCUGCCGCCUCUCGUCGAGCAUCGAAUACAUCUAUUGAAUACAAGGAAAGCAUUGUGAAACCAGCAUCGAAGGAGAACAGAAGUAUAACGAGAAGUACAAGAUGGCAUUGAAGACCUCAAAGUCAUCACUUGAUGUGUGUGACGAUUGUGGCGGCUUAUGUUCAUGUACCAUAUAAUGGCGCUUUAUUAUCUUUAUGAAUCCGUGUAUAUAGAAUAGCUCCUAAUUCUCCCUCCUAUAGCACAUGCAGCCGCAACAAACCUGUACAUCUCAGCGCCAAAAAUUUUGAGAGGACUUGGAUUGCUAUGAGGCAUCACAAUUUUGAGGUUCAUAUUCAAAUUGAAUUCUGAAAAAAACGCAAGCAUUUAAUGCCGUUUCAAGAGGACGACUAACUUGCUAUUUACGUUCAACAGGUUGUAACUUUUACUGGCUACUCACUCAAUAGUUAAAAGGGAGUUUUCACGUCCAGCUGUUGCGUUACUGGAUUCUACUCUUUAUUCAGGGGCCGAUCGCUGUAUGAACUUUGUAUGAACUAUUAUUUUUCCGAGGCUUACACUCGCACUUACAUUUCGGUCCAUUGCAGUUUAGAAUGCUGGAUUCGCUCCAUCAUUAUACAUUGCCAAGUGUUAAUCUUUCGUCUAAUAGCUCUAGAGCUGGUGAAGCUGUUGCUGGAGCUAUGUACUUAUUAUUAUUAAUGCGACACUGUUGUGGGUAUUCUCACUCAACUCUGCAUUACAGUCCAAAAUUUUCUCCAGGAAGUUGUGUUCAAAGAGCUUGUUAGUUUUCACUACACUAUUGGGCUAAUAUACACUCUUUUUUUGGCAAGGCAGCAAACGUCGAAUUCCUCCUUGCUGCCAUCAGUUGUUGAAAGCUUCAAAGUCUGAUGAAAAAAACAAGUCAUUCCUUAUCACAAGGAAUUCCAGUCCCAAUAUAUAAUUAUAAAAAACACCAGUUAUGGACUGUCACAUGGAAUUGCAGUCUCAAGUUGUGAUAAGCUUGAUGCAUGGCUUUGUAAGCUCCUCUAUUUCAACAUACGCUUACACAUGGUAUGUCUUGGAGUUUCGUGGUUUUUUUCUAAGUUAUCAGUGUCUGCUAUAAUCUAACGCUGGUUCUGCUGAUCUUUCAUGAUUUGUGUGAUUGAUGGACUUGGAGAAAAUGCUCGCAAGUUGGGUAGAAAUACUAUUUGGUAGUUGUAUGAAGUUUUGCACUGAAUACUAUUUUCAAUGAUUAUAUUAUUUCUAGAAUUUGGAAAUUUUGUUAUGUGAGAUUUUUCAUACUAUAUAAUAAAAGAAAUACUAUGGUUAAAUUUUCCUUUAGUUUUAUUUCUUACAUCUUCUUAUAUAAAAUAAAAAUAUUCAUUAAGACUCAAUUUGAUGAAUUAGAAUAUAUAUAUAUAUAUAUAUAUAUAUAUGCUUUUAGACCCAAAAAUAUAACUUUAAAUACUUAUUUAUUCGAGAAGUGUUUAUACUUUUCUAAUGCACCUAAAACUUGACAAUAAUUUUUUGGAAAAAGUUUUUUAAUUUUAUAUUAAAAGAUUCAUAUUACUAAAAACUAUUUUUAAGUUAUUCAAAUAAUAAAUUUUCUAAUUCCAAAUUAAUCAUACUUAUGAUUUUUUUUAAAACUUGUAAAAUAUAAAUUUUACAUUAAUUUAUAAGAAAAUAAUCCAAAUAAAAAUGUUAUCAAAUUUGUUUUAGAAAUCAUAACAAUAAAUUUUGACUAAAUAAGAGAACACAUUAUAAAUAAAUUGUAUAUUUAGUUAAAAAUACCAACUCAAAUUUUUAAAUUCUCUUUUGAAUUUAACUAUAUAUUUUAUUGAUUUCACUCAUAAUUGCUAUUAGUGCUUUAAAAGGGGAUGUUGCAAUUUUUCCAUUGAGCUAUAUUAAGAAUUUAAGAUCUAUCAGGCAAUUCUUUUUCUGUUUAUAAAUAUUUACUAUCAAACUAUAUGAGAAAUUAUAGCCACCAAGUAUGCUUCUAAUUCCUUUUGUAGAUGACCUAGUAGUGUUUAAAAUUAUAUAUAUUUAUGAAUCUAACAUAAGUUUUAAGAAUAGUCCUCUAUUUGAAAACAUAUUAUCUUUAUUAGAUUUAGGCAUGAUAAACUAUUUAGUAUUUAAGAAAACUAUAUUGUAACAAGUCUCACAAUUUGAAUACAAUAUUGUGAAGAUUAUUUUUUAUGAAAAUUUAAAUAUCAAUCCAUUUUCUUUAAAAAAAUUAAUAUAUUAUUUUCUUACAUAAAUAAUCAAUUUAAAAUUUAAUUUCAAUUAAAAAUAUAAUUUUGUAUUAGAUUAAGAUUAUAUUAGAUAAAAACCUGCAUAUCAAUUUUUUGGAUUAUACUGCUACUGCAAACUAUUUUCAUGUAAGUGCUACAAUAGCUUCAUUUAGGUCCCUACUUUAAUUUUUCUCUCCAAUGUUUUUUUACAAUAUACAAUCUAAAUAAUUUUGGUUUUAAAUGCAGAUUGAUUACUACUCUAUUAAAAAUUAUAUAUCAUAGCUCUAAAUUUUACUAUGACUUUUAAUGAGCUAAGUUAUUUUAAAUUAAUAAUAUUUUUUUGAUAAUAAAAUUAAAUUCUAAAAAAAAUUAUUUCUAUUUAUAGUUUCAUACUUUUUUGUUGCACAUAGUCUUAUUAAAACACUAGUAAUUAAUCUAUAUUUUGGACUUAGACCAAAUAAAAUAUCAAGAAAAUCACUUAUUAAAUUUUCUAUUUUUAGAUUUUAUAUAUAAAUUAAUAAUUCAAUAUUAGAUUUCUACUUGCUUAUAAAUUACAUUAAAAUCUUAGCUCAAUUCAUAUUUAAAAUUUUAAAAUAAAUUAAAUACAUAAAGGAUUUCAAUCAUAUUGUUAAUUUUUAUUUCUUUUAUUUUUUGGCAUUAAGUUCUAAAUUUAUUGGCUCAAUAUUUGUAAGUAUUUAUUGGCCAAAAAUAAAAAUUAUUUAACUCUUAUUUUAUUUUUCUUUCUAAAAUUAUAUAUUUAUUACCUUUCUUAUAAAAAAAUUUAAAAAAUAUUGAAAGAUAAAUAUGCUUUAUUUUACAUCUAGUAGGGAAUCUAAGCAUUAAGUUUUUCUUAACACAAGCUAUUACUUCUACCUUCUCAUACUAAAGUUUCAAUAUAUAUAUAUAUAUAUAUAUAUAUAUAUAUUACAACUUCUCUGUUAGAAAUCUAUUUUAAUAAAUGAAAGCUAUUUUUAUCACUCUUGGCCUAUUUAAAAAUCUCUUAAGAUGCUAAAAACUACUUUUUAUAAAUCUUAAAAAAUUAAUAUGCUUUGAUAUUACUUAUUAUCUUUAUUUAGAAUUAUUUAUAUUAUUAUUUUAAUUACUUUUGGACACAAUUUUGUAGCUUUUUUUUUUUUUUUUUUUUUUAAUCUACCUAACAACAAAUGAUUAUUUUUUUAUUGCCUUUUUUUCGUUCAAAAUAACUUUUUUAAGAAAAAAAAAUGAUGCUUACUAAACUAAGAUAAUCUUUUUUUACCACAUUAUCAUUUUUUAUAAGAUUUUUUUUUCUUUCUAUAUGGAUCAAGAGUUUUUUUAGUAUAUUAUAUUUUAUUGAUUGAGUCGACUAUAUUAUAUAUAUCAUCUUUUAACAAUGACUUAAUGUAUAAAUAUAUACACAACCAUCUAAUCUAUCACAAACUUAGAAAUUUAAAACAAUAGAUAUUUUUUAAAUUAUUUUAAAGAAUAUUAUAUAGCAAUUUUUUCUAUUUGAUCUACAUCUAAUUUUGAAAUUUAACUUUUUUUUCUUCUUGGUACCACUCUUUGAGUUGUAUAGGUCUAAGUUGAAAGGUUUUUAAUCAUUUUGGACUGCAUAAUAUUAAAGAUCACUUGUAAUUAUAUUUAAAAAAAUCCUUAGUAUCCCUUUUAUACCUUUUUAAUCUAAAAUCAUGAAAUUUUUUUUUUAUCCUUGCAAUAUGUUUUGUAAAAUUCUCUAAAUCUCCUUAAAUUUUUUUAAAUUAAUUUAAAACUUUAAUUUAAUUUUAAUUAAUUCAAAUUUUAUUUAAAUGUUUGUAAACUAUAUGGUUUUUAAUAUAAGAGAAAUUAUAUAGAUAUAUAGAUAUAUAUAUAUAUAUAUAUAUAUAUAUAUAUAUAUAUAAGUAUUUUUAUGUAUAUUAAAUGAUUGAAUUGUAAAUCGUAUUAAAAUAUUUUUAAUAAAUGCAACAUUUCUAAAUAUUUAGGAGUUGAUUAUAUAUAUAUAUAUAUAUAUAUAUAUAUAUAUAUAUAUAUGUGUAAAAGUAACCAAGUCUGGUUAAUAUCCAUAUUUCUUUUCACAUAUUUUCUAAUAACCAGGUUUUGGUGUUUCUAAAACAAUGUUUUAUAGAAUGAAAUCUUUAUUUAAAAAGUAUUUAAAACUCUUUUUAUCUCUUGUAAAAAUUAGGAUAUUUUUUAUUAUGUCUUUUUAGCAUAUUAAAAAUAUUAAAAAAUAUUUUUUAAAAGGAUUAUUUUAAAAAAAUGAAAAACUAACCAUGCUUGUAAUAAUAAUUAAAUGUAUAUACUACAACCACUAUCAAUUUGUUUCCAAGAAUUUUGUUGAACGUGGGAAAUUAAUUUUUAUUUGUUUAAUAGAAAGCCCAUAUUAUACACAAAGUGCUUGAUAUGCUAAUUCUUUUAUAUUUUUUUUUCUUAUUUGAUUUAUUACUAAAAUUUUAAAUUUAUCAAUGAUCAAUAAUUGUGUACUUAAUUUGAACUGAAACUGAAUUUUAUUUUUUACUUUUUAAUUAUAAUUUUUGUAACUUAAUUUGUGUGUUUUUACAUCACAUUCAGUCCUUCAUGAUGAAAAUGUACAUAUGGAAGUUGUAAUUUUUUUUUAUUAAAGUAUUUCGAUUUUUAUGGUUUAUUUUAAUUAAUAUAUUUAGUGAAACGAUUUUUUUAUUUUAUUAUUGAAAUUUUAUAUUUAGUAGUAUUUAUAAAAAAAAUAUAAAUAUUAAAUUACAUAAUUUUUUACUAAUUAAGUAGAGUAUGAUUAACAGUAGUUUUUGUUUUAGAAAACAACCAACUUGUAAUUUUUAUUGCAUGUGUUUAUAACAUAUCCAUUAUUAAUUAUUUAUAAAAAAAUUGUAUUUAUUUAUCUGAUAAAACAACCAUGCCCUCAGAUACUUGUAUCUUCUGUACUUAACAUUCUUAAUUUUUUAAAUUUUUAAAUUUUUUUUCAAAAAAAUUAAAAAUAUAAAACUCUUAAUAUUCUAUGAAGUUUGAAUAAAACGUAUUGAAAAAUGUGCAUAUUCUCAAGUCCUUACUACUAUAUUUACGUCGAUAUUUCAGCUUGGAAAAACAACUUGGUAUACCCACUAUACAAGUCAUAUUUUAUUAUGAUUCAAACGACAAAGUUUAACAUUUUUUAAAAUUUUAUUUUUUAUGUUUAAAUUUUAAAUUUUAAAAUCAAUAAAUUUUAAUUUAUAUGUAAGUAACAAGCAUAACUUGUGAGCAUAGUGGCACAACUUGUACAACUGCCAUGGUACUAUUACAGUUGCCAAGGCUUGCUUGAUGCAGAGGCAAACCCUCCUUUUGCAACCCUAGUUUGAGGCUUCAGGCCUAUUUCGUUCAUACUGGGCGACAAGAAACUAUAGUUUAUUGGAAUGAAAUCAGCACGUAAAUUUGUAGCAAUCUGAAUCCUGGAAACCCCCACCCAAUUGACAGAGGAAAUAUCACACAAAUGGCUCCAGUUCUUUGUACUUGCAAUAUGACCCAGUUCGUGUACAUCAACUGCCGAGUAGAAUAGGAGAAUGAAAGGACUACAGGAGCAGCUUUUCUCAUCACAUUCUUCCUCUUUUUUAUCAUGUUUGUUCUGGCACUUUUGACCACCAGAGAACAUUGAUAGCGUAUUCUAAACCACCAGAUAAAGACCUCCACUGGGAGCAUUUCUCCUCUCAAAAUAGCCCCAUAUUGCAAGAGAGGAUAAAUGCAAUGAAUUUCCCUUUUGGCCUUUCUGCAUUAUCCUUAUCAGAAGGUGAGUGUUGUUUGAUGGUUUUUCCACUCACAAAACCGACCUUUGGUUGUAUUAGAAAGAUAAAGAUAGGCAGUAGAGUAGACAUGGUAGUAGUUGACCAUAGUUCAGCAGCUGAUGCUUACAGAGAUGAUCCCCAUGGAGCCGGUGGGCAGAAUGUGCUAGCAGGCGAUUAGGCCUCGAGGCACACACUGUUUGAAGAGGCUUUGCACAUUCCUCUGCAUGCAUCUAGCAUCGUGCUCGCAAGCUUAUUUGAAGCCCAGGAGAAUGUUGGCUAAAGCGCCGACUAAACGGGCCCACAUUCAUCUCGAUUGGUGCAAUUCAGUAUAUUGUAUCAGGUGGUUCAUUCAGAUUUUACUCAUACCGGUUAACAAACCCUACCCAGUAAAUACAUCCAUAGCAAGUCACAGGGGUUUGCCCUUUCAGGGUCAGAGUUCAUCAGAGUCGAGAUCUCACUGAUUGAGUUGGUCACUUCCGCCGAAGGCAAUUCAGUUAUAACCCACACUAAAAUAACAUGCGAUUCUAGCAGGAAGCGUAAGUAUUUGAGGGUCGAAAUUUCUGAAGUUAAAUUUUUAUUUUUGUUUAGUAUCCAGAGUAAUGGAUAGUGAAAGACACAAGGGGCACGCCCCACUACAGGCAUGAUCUUGGCAACAAAGGCUAUCAUCUUACACAAGUAUUUUUCUAUGCCUCCAUCCCUCAUCUUUUGUUACGCAUUCCCUACAAUCACCAUCCCACAGAAUGUCUUGUGAGAAACUGAUGAGGACCCCAUUAAGAAAAGCUGGUGGUGAAAAGAAUGACUGUUGAUGUUUUCUCCCAGCAGUGAUUGGAAGAACCAACUGGUGUAGAAGUGAAGCAGAAGAAUGUGCAUCAUGAGUCUGAAUAGUGACAACAAGGACUCACCUGCACUUCGGAGACCAGUUUGAUGAGGACGUGCAUCACCGCAAUGGAGCAGACUUGGCUCUACACCUGAAUGCUGAACAUCGAUUAAGCAGCUCUUCUUACCCUUGAGGUUGCAAGGGUUUCUAUAAAGUACACAAGAACUUGUUGCUGUAUGUUCAGUUUCUGGCAGAUUUGAGUACUAUCUAAAAGGCCUAUCAAAUCGGAUUAAGGUAAAACUAGCCGAGCCCUGCACCUUAAGGGGGUUAGGCACCGCAAGUGCUCAUGUAAAAUUGAGUACUCAAAAAGUGGCGAAGCCGCAUUGAGGCUUCAACGAAGUGCUGGAGACAUCCUGUAGCCGAACAAAAUAGCACUUGCCAGCCAAUCACAGACCAAGUAAUAUGUAGUAUACCAUCGUAAUUGGCAAUGCAAUAAGCAUUCCAAAGAUCACCCUGCAAUUACAAUCGCCCACCAAAAACUUACUAGCAAACUCUGAUACUAGAUAGAAGUUUUUUCUUUCAAAAUGUGCUCAUAGUCAGCUCAACUGUUCAGGUCACAUCGUAAUCGGAUGAACUCAAUUUAAGCUAAUAUCUGACAAAUUUAUCAUGUUGUGAGGAAGAGAGUGCCUACGCAGUGCUUAGUAUCUCUGGAUGCACACCAUACUCCUUUGCAAACACAAAUGGUACAAUGCCCUGUGGUAACGCAGCCUGCAUUCAAAGAUAAACGCAGACAUGAGAUAGCAGAGAUUCGAGGACGGAGCAGAAGGGAUAUUAGCAGUUGUGAUCAAGAACAGCAGUGUAGAGGAAAAUCUAAGCUUCGCGGAUGAGAAGUUGAGUACUUAAGAGUACCUGCACUAUGGAAACCUUGAGCGGCACGCCACGGAGGCCCACUAAAUAAGAGGCUGCAGCAAAUACAGCUGGGCCUGCCAGGAAUCGCAGAGCCAUCCCAAACACUGCCAUUUUCGUCCCGCACACAAUUAUACGAUCGCCCAAUCCCAUGAAUAGACCUGAAAGAAAUUCACACGUUGUUCCAUGUGUCACUUUACAGUAUGAAUUGCAUCUGUUGUAGGGUCUGAAUGAGCAAAACAUGCUAAUUUGAUGAGACAGUUAUAGAACAGUUUAGGACCUAAAGAUUGUGGAAAACCCAUGCUCACAUAUACUAGUCACGUAGGACUCACUAGUACUGGGACUUACCGAGGCUAAACAUUGCCAUCCCAAGACCUGCAUCUGAAAGAAUGUGCACAGACUUGUAAAGGAUCAGCGGCAUAGAGAGGUGCCACCUGCAAACUCGUCGAAAAUCACCGAAUUGAUCGUCAGAAAGAUAAAAGCGUUGAAAUCACAUAUCACCUUUAUUUUAUACAACAUUUGAAUAGAACCACUCCCAACAAUAUAUAUGUAAAUAUGAACAAUUCGGUGAUUUACCGAAUUGAUCACUAGCUUUAAAGGGACACGUAGACACAGAGCAGGUCUGCACGGCAGAAAUUUUACCUAUUUGCAACCAAUGACCAGAUAACCCCGAGUAAACUGGAGUAAGUAUUUGGAUUCCAAACAAGUUUUCUGAAGGUCAUGACCGCAAUUAGCUUAAUCAUCACAGCAGAAGGUGGCAUGCUUUUCUUCGCUUCGUCCUCUGCCAGUUUCGGUGUCAAUUCAGCAGUCGACGUCGAACCAAACUUGUCCAACCGAGGUCCAUCCUUGUCAAGAUCCUCCAAUUUCAAAUCGUUUCUGUUUCCAAAGCUGAAGUCCUCUCGAGUGUAUUCAUCAUACGUUCUAGGGCUUGCUGCACAACAAAUAAGAGUGACAAAUAAGCAACAUGUUCGUCUGAGAUAAGGUAAAUAGGAGGCAUCCUCAGAUAUUUUAGUUACCUUACUAGUCGAUAGAAAACUGCCACAUUGAUCAAGCAAAACCCGCCAAACAUUUACAGAAGAAAAGUCCCUAUUGCUACCGCUGCAGUACGCGGAGGGGAAGACAUUUCAUUCAAAGAGAAGCGAACUCAACUUCGAACAAAAAAAUAUUCAUGCAAGUGGGAGGCAAAUGGAUCACCUGCAGCAAGGCCACGGUCCAACUGUGGAUGUACAAGCAUGCGCACUUCUUUUGGGUCAAAUCUUUGCUGAAGAUUAGCAGAGGUAUCAUUUCCUCCAAAGACGUGCAAACCAGCUUCAGAGACGGGGGAUGCAUUCGCGCUCCACACAAACAUGUGAAGUUCCUUGGCAUCCUCGUCCGCCCUUGGAGAGGCUUUUGGAUCCUUCACCUUCUUCGCGAUUUGUGACGCCUGUGGUGAAUACACUGGGUUAACAAUCUGAGUGUUGACAGCAGUUGAGGGAGCAGUUGCGUUGACGUUUGCAGCACCUCCAAGAGUAAGAAUGUUGAUGGCUGUUUGGCUUCCUGGAUAAAUGGUGCGACCAUCAGGGCCCAUUCCCGGGGCACCCAAAGUGCUUAGAGUCCCAUGUCCUGUGCAAUCGGUGCCAGGUACUCCUAUCCCUCCAAGGCCAGGUCGGGGCGUGAACAUCCUAGCCCCCAUUCCGUUCCGAUACAAAGGUGGGGCGAACCGAGGGGAAUUCAUGUUCAAUCCUCGGUGAUGCGUGUGUAUAUCCUUCGAGUUUUCCUCGUUGAAAUUGGAAGAUCUUGGUGUGGGACCUCGAGAUGAUUGCAAGGAGUAGACAUCCGAAGUGUCAAAAUUCGACUGACGAUGAGGGCUUCGCUGCGACAUCAUGGAGUGGAAUUCGCCCUGGUUAAAACUCGAAUCUCGUGGCGUAAGAUUCACUGAGGAAUGCAUGGAGUAGAUUUCUGCACCAGUAAGGUUGGAAGGGCGGGGCGUUAGUGCCUUUGAAGAAGGCAUGGAGUGGUGCGCUGAGUGCAUACCCUGCGACCUAGAUGACACAGACCUUCGAACCUUGACGUGCAGUUUGCCAUCAUCGCCUAUUUCAGCUUCCGUGAGCACUGGCUCCCGCCCAUCCAGGGACAUCACGUCUGAGUCCACCUUGAAGGAGACGAUAGAUGCAGCGUUUUCUGGGAACUGCUGCAUGAUUAGAAUCUUUGCAGCCCGAUACUCGUACAUUACAAGUAAGAGAGUGUACCAGAUUAUACACUGCAGGACGACUGCUUGGACGGUGAGAUCGCCUGGCCCAGCUCCAUACAUAGCUGCCAACAGAGGGGUUCCCAUCACCAGGGUAUUGGGUAUUGUGAUCAGCACAAACAAUGUUAUCAUCCAUUCCAGACUUCCCCGCUUGGCAUAUCGUGCCCAGAGACCCAAGCAUAGGAGAACAAGCACCUUGGACACCGCAUCGGCUGCAAUGAAUUUGAAAUUCAUCGCGUAUGGGUUGUUUCCGGAGAUGAACUGGAAGGAUAGAAGGGGGACGGCGAAAAUGGACACAAAUCUGUUGAUUCCGCCACAUUGCUGUGGUGUCAAAAUCCCCCACCACUUCACAGAGCCGUAGGCCAACAUCAUCGCCACGUAUAAAGGUACCAUGGCACUGAGAACAUUGUAUAUGUCAUGGCCGUUAAUCAUUUUGAGAACGUUUGUCCGGCCGGUUUGAUUAACAAAGGACUUGACUAGAACAGCAGAAUCUGCUUGCUGAAGGAACAAAUUCUCGGGGAUCGUAGCGGGAGAAGAGAUCUGUUCAGGCUUAAGCUAAACGAGGGAGAUAAUGAGUACCUUCACAAGCUGAAAGUUAUCAGCCCCUCUUAUAUCUCCUUCCAAAACGAAAACCUCCAAACGCACUUAAAAAUUUCUUACAGCUUGCUCAUGGACCACAGACUACCGAACUGGGAAUGGACUACUGAAGCCUAAAUCCUUUGAAGGAAAUUCUCUAGUUUAUUAACCUGGGUUGGAGAUUAUAUCAAUCCCUUCAUUGGUCUAAGAAUCCGGACUUCCAUAGACUACGUGAGCGAGGAACUCCACUGUAGGUUAACACCAACUAUUCAACGCACAGCUAAGCAAUGCGAGAAACCAGGUGCAGCUGUAGUCUAUUCGAUGUAGACUCAAAGGGGUACAAUGUGAUCCUCUUCAACAAGAAUCAGAACAAUGAAAAAAAAAAAAAAAUCUCAAGAGAAGUCCGCCUUUUAGUGAUUGAUCAUAUUAAGAGAACGUGCCGGCACUAAUACACCAAUCCCAAGAAGGCUUUCUAUAGAAGACUAUUAAACUGUCUACAUAAGCAGGAGCAGCGCUAACAGGAGAGACCUGUCUGGACUGCUUGAUAAGUUUCUUUCCCACUCACCAAACUAGCCUCCUGUGCACGACUCUGCUCGUUCUGAUGGCCCGACGACGAUGUCCACUCACUGAAGCGCCUUGUGCAGUCGGAAGCUCUAGCGGGCCGCCACGACAAGACGAACCCGCAAGCUUUAUUUUGCUGAAAGAGAGAGCCAAAUUCCUCCUCGCAUUCAAAGUCGUCUAUGCAGGGGUACUACAGACCAGUAUUCUACGAUGAAACUGGAGAUCAACUCGCAUUUUCAUGCUAAAUCACAGCAUGAUUCAACUAACAAAUUUCUCGCAGUGUGAACAGGAUACACUACUCACAACUCCCUUCAAAAACAGAGCUGCGCCGUUUUGAUCUUCACUGACAGCUCCAAUCUCUCUUUGACACAGACAUGCAGCGGAAAUCUCUCCCUAGCACUUCAGACACUUCUAAUCCUCAAAACCUCACAGCAAAUGCACAGCUCUCUCACUUGCAUUAAAGAAUCCCCGGCACAAAAUCCUAAAAACCAAAAUAGCACGCCCUGCCUUGCACUCCUUCUGAAAUGAAUGCACGCUGCAUAUCAUCGAGGAAGAAAACAAAAAUGAAUGAACAAAACGACGGUACUACCACGCAAAUUUUCCAACCACUACACUGAUUAUCCCCUCCCACACUAGCACUUCCGCAAUCCCUUGACCUUCGUCAGAUACACCCCAUCACCAAGUCGAAACAACAUAUUUGUUCCACUCCACUUAAGAUCCUUCAACCCACGAUCCUAUUUCAAUCAAGCCACCACUACCCGAGAUUACUAGACUCACUGCAACUAAACGCCACCACGCUUCCCCCACAAUUCUCAAUGAACCUCACCACACGCAAUUCGGCACCAAACUUCGCAAGGCUGGGCUCGUCGGGAUCGCCGGAGAGGGGAGUUGCAUGGCAGCGAAGACAAGAUCGAUGAAAGUCUCAGGAUUGGGAGCAGGGACGAGUUUGAGUAUGAUGGAGGCAGGCAGCGAUGCUGCAAGCUUUGAUGAAAGAGGGGAAUGGGGCCAGACCAGCUCUUGUCCCGAAGAAUAGAGCCCCAAAGCACCGACCGCAGGUCGGCCGUGACGGAAUGCCGAAUUGUCAGACUGCGGGUAACAGCAAGGCCGUUUCUUACCCUAGAAAGAGAUCCACCGUUUUACUAUGUCAGGGAGGGGGUAAAUGCAGCGGUGAGUCAUGGCUUGACGUGAACUUACUAAUGGUGUAGAACGUGGGAACGUGGCUCGCUGCCAUUGGGAACGCAGGAGCAGCUCUGUUGGCUGAAAGGUAAAUGUGGAAAGGCGACAGAUUCUGCGGCGGAAAAUCGUAGCCGUGUUCUGCGUCAUAUUUUUAAUCCCGGGGUAAACAAUACUCUUUGCCUCUUCGGGGCUGUGGUAAAUUUUCUUUUUGCCCGCACGAUUCCAUGGAAUCACUUUGGGCUUUCUUUUUCAUAGUGUAACUUUCUUUUCCUUUCUUUUCCUUUCUUUUCUUUUACUUUUUAAAGUUUUAUCGGGUUAAUGUUUAAAACCUUAAGUCAAUAAGAACAAUAACUAGUUUAGAUUGAUGCCUAUUUGGUUUCCUGUUAAGGAUGUUUUUAAGCAUUUUUCAUGUAAAAUUUGUAAAAAAAAAAAUUGUCUUCACUGUGAUUAGCAUUCUUGAUUGCAAUAUUGUGCCAUUCUUUUCAUUCUCCUCACACACAUGCAUAUAUAUAUAUAUAUAUAGAGAGAGAAUUUUAUUUUCUUAAUUGACCUUUAUGACUUUACUUAAAUUUCGCAAAAGUACAGGAGUGUACAUUUAAUCUGUCAUAAUGUGUAAAUUUAAAGUUUUAAUAGCAUCAAAAACAUGUAAAAUUAUUUAGUAGUUUGGAAGUUACCAACAAAGAAUAAUAUCAUGUUUGCUAAAAACAUUAGUAAACUAUUCAGGCAGAGAUUUCAGCAAUUAAGAUGUAAAAUCUAGAGAUAAAGCAUUUCAAUUUAAAACUUAAUUGGAAUUAGAAAGUAACCAUUGUCACAAUUUACUUUUUUGUUGAGUACAUAUGUGCUGAAAUUUUAACAUCAAAAGUAAAAUAACUGAUAAAAUACUGACAAUGAGAUAUACGGGUAGUAAUACCAAUUUCCCCUCUUAGAUAUAUUUUCCCUCAUAGUAAUGCAAACGAGGAUCUAUGUUAUUUUCACUAACUAAUUCAAAUAAAAAGCAUGAGAUACAAUUCUACUAUUUCAAUUUUAUUUUAUAAGAUUCAUCUGUGACAAUAGAUUCAAUGUGCAAGUUUUUAUUUAUUAUACUCUCUACACCACUAAAGUUUGACAAGAGGAAAAUAAGUGUACAACUCCUUUUCUAACUAAGAAUACUUUGAGAAGGUUGUAUCAAUUCCUGGGGCCAAAAUUUAACCUACUACCCAAGUCAGCAACACAUCAUCACUUUUCGUUUACUUUCUAAAGAAGUGAAAUUUUGAUGAAUUUCCAGUGUUUUUAAACAGAGAACAUUGAUGCAGAAUUACUAAACAUUACUUGGAGUUAAGGACAUGGUUGAGAGAACCAGCAAAGGGGCAGAUCUACCUGUCACAACUUUGUCAUAAGCCUCCAGGAUCCUGAAGUAAUAUCUUUAAUCACAAUACCCAGUACACUGUUUCAGCCUGUUCGCUGUGUGUGUGUUUUCACCUCUGAUGCUGCUUCCUUUUCCAAUCCUACAGGGGCAAAUAUGAACAAAGGAAUCAAAAUGUCACAAUCUACAGCUGCAUGUGAAGUUAAAAACAGAUACAAGGGGCAGAAGAGUUAUUAUAACCCAUAUUGGGUUUCCAAUCUCCAGAGCACAUAUGGCAUUCAGUUUUGUUCCAUCAAACAAACAAACAAUAGGGAAAGUCAAUAGUGUGAGGAGCUCUACUGAGAUUCAGGAAUGGAGCCAACAGUGUUAAGCAUUUCUGUAGAAAAGUGGGUGAGUUACCUCUGACUUGAAGAUCCAAGACAAACUAGUAGUACUGGAGAACACACAGUAUAAGGGGGAUCAAUGCCGUUUGUAUCCUUACUGCCUUCUACAGUGAAGAAAUGCUUCCCCCCCCCCAUCUGCAGGUUGCCUACAAAAGAUGCUACAGAAUUUGGUCCAGAAUCUAUUUUUAAAAAGGCAGGAGUGAAUCUUCCAAUACCAAUUUAUUACUCCGCCUAGUUAAAAACAUACUUGCAGUUUAAAAUUAACUUGCACCAAUUUUAAAAUCGUAGUUCAGCCUGCAAGCAAGAAUAUUUGUUGUCCCAGCAGUGUUCAUUGUAUGGUUUCUUUAAUUGAAAAAUAAAAUAAAAUGUAUAAAUGAAAAAUGUAACAAAAAUCUCAAAUUGAGUUAUUUAGACCCAAGAUAUCAAACUUGAUAUAUUGUAAGGCUAGCUGGGUAGUGUGAAGGUAAGUAGUGGUGUUAUCAUCUACUGUAGAAUGUACUAUCAGCAUAUAUUCAACCACGUAAGGUAUAUACGUAUGCACAUAUAUGUAUUAUCAUGAUAGUAUUUUACAUUAGACAAGAUUAUCAGAUAAAUUUUCUGAUAAUCUUACCCCUUUUGAAAAGCAGUAACUCAGAAAACCAUCUUGGAUAUAAUUAUUGUGAUGGGGUAUUUUUCUUCCAUUUUGGGUACAAUGGCAACCACAUCAAGGUUAGGAGCCCUUACAAUUGGCAUCAAAUCCCAUGGAGACAACAAGCUCCCUCUAACUUACUUUUUAGAGUAGCCAAAGGUUUCUUCUCUACCACUCUUCUUGUGUGGUGUGGUCUCUGUGUUGUACAAUAAUGAAUCCCACAGCCCUUCUUGUGCUUGGGGAACCUUAUGGCAUCCACAUGGGAACAAGUGGGGAGUAUUCAAGUGCCCAGUUGUAUUCAAGGAUCCUCAGCACAAGGCCAAAAACAGAGAAGGGGAACAGGGACAUGACAACAACAACAAGAUUGACAAAAAAAGAAAAGAAAAGGGGGGGCCUGGUUCAGUGCUUUGAGUGCUUUGCAGUCAUGUCCUUGGCUACAUGGGACUUAACCCCCCCACCCUUUCUCCACAAUGUUUCCCACUCCCCCCCUUGUUCAUUUACCCUAAACCCUAAACAUUUGUUUAAUGGAAUGAAAAAAAAAUGGCAACUUUACCUUUCCCAUAAUGACACCAAAAAUGAAAGAUUAAGAAGUUGAGCAGUUGAGUGCACAUGGUUUAUGUGAACAGAUCAAGUGAUCAUCUGAUCUUGUUCAGUACCCCCCACAUUCUGAUAGAUUGUCCAGUUUAGGGCACGUGACAAGUAUCUCUUGGCUUUUGUACCGUUUCUUCCAGGAUGAGGAAACUGGUUCCAUCCAUCCAUCCAUCCAUCCAUCCAACCAUCCAUCCCUAACCCUAAGGUUGAGAGUUGGCUUGGGGAAAAGGAAAUGGAUAUUCUCUCUAAGGUUUGUGGUUGCUCAUUUGGGAAAAAUGAUUCAAUAAAGUAUACAUGUUUCAAGAUUCUGCUUGAACUCUUUGUGGGAAGGUGUUGAACUGUGUGUUCCAAGGGUCUAUGAGACCAUAUGUUUUUUUUCUUUUUUUUUUUUUUUUUUUGUUACAAAUGAGAUUUUCAAAUAAGUGUAAUGAAUCUGGUAAAACGUAAGAAUGAAAAGUAAAGCAUACUCAAGCAGCCAUUGGUAUGUUGCCACUAUGGCAUGUACAAAUGCAAUCGAAGGAAAAAUAAAUAGAUAAAUAAAUAAAUAACUUCUGAAACUAACAUUUACCCGAAACAAACUACACUUGGAAAAUAAAAAUAUACUUCUUAAAAUGUUCUGAUGACAAAUAAAAAUUAAAAAUCUGGCUUAGUGAAAGUCCAGCAGUCCAUAUUCUUCACAAACCCAAAAAAAAGCCUAGUGGCUGAUCACACCUCACGAGUCAAGGGUGAAACCGGCAGAGUUAGAAUGAGCAAAGUCCAGGCUAUCCAUCCAUCCCAUCAUACUUCAUCCAAACGUACCCCCACCCAUCCAUCCAUCCACAACUUCAUCCAUAUAAAACCCCAUUCAUGCAUUCAUUCAUGGCCCAGCCAAUCUUGAAGGAUCCUGGGAGCUAAGGUAGAGUAAGUGAAGUCACACGUGAUCACUCGGGCAAGCACAGAACCCAACAAUCCCUCACACACACACACACACACACACAGUCACUCGCACACACAGAGAGACAGACAGACAGUGGGCUCUGUUUCCCUUGCCUCACACACUCACAGACACUCUCACUCUCUGUCUGUCUGUCUGUCUCUCUCUCUCUCUUUCACUCACAUACCACUAAGUUUAAGGACUUGCAAGCCAGGCCAUCCUCCUUCUCACUCACUCACUCUCUCUCCUACAGCCUUUGCCUACAGCACAAGAGCUCUGGCAGUAGCAGAAGCAGCAGGAGCAGCAACCCUAUAUCAUCUCAAAUCAAAAAAGCCAUACAUAUGAAACAGAGGUAGUUUCAUCACCUGGAUGGUGAGGGAAAGCUUCGGAAGAAGAAGAAGAAGCCUGUUGCAUCAUGUGAAAGUUACCAUACAACUCUAUCACCACUGCCUCCACCAUUUCUACUACUACUAAUACUACUGGGUAGUGACAAGCCCUGUCUCUUCCUUAUUUAUAUUUGUGUAUUAGUUAGGGGUAGAGGAGGUCCUUCAUGGCUCACACACACACUUUAGAUUGGUCAUAUUUUCGUUUUAUUCAUUUUAAUUGUAUGGGUGGGGGUUAAGGGAUGGCAGGAGACUGUGAUACAACACAAAACUAGCAUGAAAAGGAAGGAAGAAAAGAAAAGAAAAAACAAACAAAUGGGAUAAUGUCCUGCUCAGCAUGCAAAUGGUUCUUCUAGAGGAGACAACAGUACUGGUAGGAAUAGGAAUAGGAAUAGGAGUGUGGUGAUGGUGGUGGGUAUGGUACUACUGCUGCUAUUGCUGCCUCCUCUCCCCCUUCUCUUAUGUUAAUAAAAACUAUUUCUCUCUCUCUCUCUCUCUCUCUCUCUACACAUAUAUAUAUAUAUAUAUAUGUGUAUGUAUAUUUUUCUAGUUAGUUAGUUAGUUAUUGUAUUUUUAUGUAUCUUAUUAUCUUUUUUGGUAUUGCCUUGAACAAUGGCUAAUGACAAGGGAAGUUGCAAAAGGUGUCCCUUGCAACUUCAAUGUGAAUGUCACUGAACCCACUUGGUUUUGAUUUUGGGCUGUUGGGUUUUUUUUUAUUAAAGUGUUAUUGGUAUUUCAAAAGUUCUGUUUUCUUUUGUUCCUAGAAGGGAAGUCAAUUGCGCAAUUUUUAUGACUCGUUGGUUACUGUUUGCUUUUUUUCUUGUUUUUGUUUUGGGUGAUUUUCAAAUUUUUGGUUGAAGGAGAGGUGGGUGAUAUGUGCUAUAGUUAUUGUACUUUUUAAAGUUACUGAAUAGUACUGAAAUUAUAUUUGAAUGAAAAUUCUAUUGUGGUAAUUACACUUUGGGAAGAAGAUAAAUAUCAUGCAAUCAAUGAAACCAAUGUGGAUCUUUUGAUUUUAUUUGAUUUAUUGUCACUUAGUAGCAAUCAGUACUGCAUUAUGAAUAAUUGAGCUAAUGGUAUAUAUUAGCAACUAUGUGAUUAACUUCACCCCAUUUAAAAGAAUGUAAACUGGACAAUGUGUUUUUCUAAUUUAUUAUCAAACUAAAGUUGAUAAAAUGAGCUGAAUUUGUUUUAAUGAGACAAAAAUCUCAUGUGAAGUAACCAAUCAUGUUACUUGACUUAAAUGCAUUCCUACCAAUCUCAAAAGUCAAACUUAAGUUGAGUUUACAAUCUGAUUUUUGAGGUUACCUUAACAUUUUUUUUUCAUGCACUAUAAAAUGUAUUUGUGUGUGUAAAAGAAAUUCCGCAGGCCAAUAAAGCCAUAAACCUGCAACAUUAUGGGAUGAAUGUUGAUUUUUUACAGUACCUUUGGGGAAAUUACAUUCUUAGAAUAAAUGAAGUGAUUUACAUCAUAUCAAUAUUUUGAAACUAAUUCUAAGUCUGUAAAAAAUUAGGAUAAAAAUUAAAAGAUAAAAAUAUUUUAAAAAUCAAGAUUUAAAAAUACUUCAUUGUAACGUUUUUACCAAUUACAUGUACUGUGAAUGUUUCAAUUCUUCUUACUUAUAUAUCUUUUAUUUUUUAAUAGAAAAAGAAAAAGAAUCAUUCAAACUUAAAAAAAAAAUACAUGUGAAUAAAAAAAUUCUAUGAAUUACUUUCCCAACGAUUUUUUAAAAUAUACAUUUAUAACCUUAUUCUUUAUAAAAUAUUUUUAUUUUAAAAUCCUAAAUAAAAUUUGAUUAUCUUGGUAUUUUCUUGAACCAUCAUCUUAUAACAUUAAAAAAAAGUAUUAUGAAAGUACAAUAAAAAAAAAUUGAUGUGAUAUAAUAAAGAACAUACAAUUAGUAUAAUACUAUUUUUGUUUAUAAAUAUUAAAAGCAAUAAACACACUAAUUCCGUUGCAUAUUGUAUUGUUAAGAUUGAGAUACAUUUCAAUAUUGCCUCUAAUUCUUACUCUAACACUUAAAUUCUAUAGAACCUUCUAUUGGUGAUUUUAAAUAAUUAGAAAAAUCAUCAAGAAUUUUAUAAAGCUUUCUUUGGAAUGGUGUAGAAGACACAAUGCAAGUUUUAUACAAGACUACAAUAAAUUUCAAAAGACAAUAGAAGGUUCUUAAAACUAUAAAGGUUAUAGGAUAUUCUAAUAGAUCAAGAAAGGCCCAUAUAAGAUGUAUAAUUUAUUUUAUAUUUGUAACAUCUUAUUUUUCUUUAGUAAUAAUAUUUUACAAGAAGCAUUAAAUACUAUUACUUACUACAUACAAGAAUUUAAAGAUUUGUAAUAUUUUUAUAUUGCAAUAUAGAUUUCAAUUUGGUUAAUGCUAAAUUAAUUGGUAAAAAUGUAAGAAAAUAAAUUCACUUGGAUCUACAAUACUUACAUACCACAUAAUAACCAAAAAUUAAGAAUGAUUUUUAAAGAUUUUUAUGCCAAUAUUAUAUUUUAAAUCUUUUUUUUUCCAAGUAUUAAAAUCUAUUAUGUCUUUAAAUAAUAUAUUACAUUUGAAAUAUUAUCAAAUUUAAUAAAAUUACACAAGACAUUCUAACAUCUUGUUUUAAGUACUUUUAUCACAAAAAAAUAGUAUAAAUUUUUAUAAUCAAAUUCUACAAUAAGUAGCUUUUGAACUUUUAUAUACUCACUACUUUUAUUAUGAUUUUUCAAAAUUUAAUGCUCAUUUUUUAAAAAUAACUUUAAACUUUAAAAAUUAAAUUAUAUCUUAACUUUCUCAAAAAUAAAAAAUUAUUUUGGACUUAUAAAAUUAUAAUUUUUUCAUAAAAACUAUUUUAUGAUAAUUUUAUAAUAUAUAGAUUAUAAUUAUAAUAUUAAAGAAAUUAAAUAACUAAAAUAAUAUUUUUGCUAGGUGAUAAGUUUUAUUAACUUAAUAACAUAAUACAUUAUCAACACAAAGGUUUAAAUUUUAUUUUUAAAUAGAUAGAGUAGUGCUUAUAGAUAUAUUUAAAUAAUACUUCUAGAUUAUCUAAAGAAUAUAAUUAGGUUAUUUUAUCAAUCUAGAAAAAAAUUACUUAUUACAUGUAUUUAUAUUAUAUAUUUUCUAUAUAUAAUUAUCAUAUGUGUUUGUAUUUUAUAUUUAAAAUUUUAAAAUAUUUUAAUCUAAUAAUUUUUUUAAUAUAUCAAUAUUUUUUAAAAAUAAAUGUACAUGUAUUUAUUAAAACUAAUUAUGAGUACAAAAUAAAUAAAUAAAUAAAUAAGAUAAAACAAAAUAUUGAUAAAAUUAGAAAUUAUGAUCAAUUAGUAAAAUUCUAUAAAUACUCUAUAAAUAAAAAGUUCUUACUUUGUAUAAUAGUAAUUAGUAUUAACUUAGGUUUCAAUGACUCUUUUAGAACUUAUAUUUAAGAACAUUUGUUGCUAUUAGUUUUCCAAGUAAAUUUCAUAUUUUGAAGUAGUGCUUCUAUUAAUUUAAUAGUUUGUUACAUAUUAUAAUAGUCUACAAUGUCAUUGUAUGUAUGUAUGUAUAUAUAUAUAUAUAUAUAUAUAUAUACAAGCACCUAAAAUAUUUAUUUAUUUAGAUAUAUUUAGAACAAUCUAUAAUAUAAAUGCAAGCAAGCUUAUAAAAUUGAAUUCUUUUAUGUAAUGUUAGUAGAAAAAACUCACAAAUAAAUCAAAGAUAUUUUUAAUCAUUUUUACACCUAGUAUUUCAAAUUGUUUCCUCAGAUAGUAAAAAAGCAUUUGUGCUCUUCAGCUCGAUAUGAUAUUAUUAAAAACUCACAAGUGUGGUAAGUAAUUGUUUGUAAAUAUCAAAUUCUUUUUUACUUAUAAGUUUUUAACAUAUUUUUAAAAUAUUAUAUUUUCAUUAUAUUUAAACAUAUAAUAUAUAAAAAUAAAAUGGAUGAUCCUCAAGUUAUAGAAAGUAUAUAAAGAAAUGUAUGUAAGUAAUGUUACACUAUUUUUGCAUACUUUUACCGUAAUUGUGUAAGUAUGUUACACAAAGUUUUUAUCAAAAGGUGUCAAUAGUUCCUGAAUAUCAAGUCAAUUAUUUUAUUUAAGUCGAAAUGUUUUCUGACAAGAAAACCAUGGCAUAAUUAAAGAAUUUCAAAUUAUUAUAUCAAAAAAUUACAGAGACGUUUUACUGUAGAAAACAUUGUCUUUAAAUUCAAUUCUUUGUGCUUGAUUUGUAAAAGGUAUUUGUUGGAAAUCAAACACAUUCUAACGAUUGUAAGAUGUGAAUAUUCUUUAAGGCACUUUCUUUUAAAAUAGACAUAUUUUUCAUGAAGGAUACAGUCGAUGUCUUUAAUUUGAAUAAUUCAACAAAUAACACACUUUGUUAAACUUCACAAAAAAAAUUGCAGACAUAUACUUAUAAAAUAUUUAAAUAUUGUAAAAGUAUGAAUGUAUUGCAACAUUCAGUGCAAAAUAUCUAAAAAUUUAAAAUAAAACUUAAUAAAAAAUAAUUUUUAACUUUAUUUGGACUACAAUUCUAAAAUUUCACAGUAAUGAAUAAAAAUGGGUUUAAUGACUUGGUUAUAGCUUGAAAUGAUCAAUAGUUGUACAAAAAUGCCUAAUUUCUUUCUUAAAUAACAAAUAAAGUUAUCUAAUAAAUAAGAUUGGAUAAAAUUUGAAGCACUUAACUAAAUUAUAUUAAUACAUUUUAACAAUAUUGCCAAAUCUAUUUGUGGAAUCCAUUAACUAAGUGUAAAAAAUUUGUGUUUUUGCUUACAGCUUAAUUUAACAAUUAAAAAAAAAAUACAAUGGAACAUAAAUUUAAAAAAAUGUAAAAUUUUACAUUUCUUUAUUAAAUUCUUAUCUAUUAUAAUUAGAAAAAAAUUAUUUAAUUUAUUGAAAUAUAUAUAUAUAUAUAUAUAUAUAUAUAUAUAUAUAUUCCUUGAAAUAAUUAGCCUUUUGUUCAAUUUUUUAUUUAUUUUAUUUAUUUUAUUUUUAUAUAUCUUGGAUAUUUAAAUUUUUCGUUUAUUAAACAAAGAACUAAUUUUUUCAUAAUAUGGUUUUAUUUAAAAGUCUAAUUCGUUUUUCAAAAUAACAUACUAAAUUUUGUAGUUGUUAAACAAUUAAUUUUAGAUUAAUCUUGUACAUGUAUCUUUUGUAGAGAAACAUAUAUAUAUAUAUAUAUAUAUAUAUAUAUAUAUAAUUUAAAAACUCAAUUAGAGUUCAUUUAAAUUGAAAAAAAUUGACAUGUAAAUAUAAAUAUAUAACAAACUAAACCAUAAAUCUGUAAAUUAUAUAUAUAUAUAUAUAUAUAUAUACACUAACUAAAACUUCUAAAUGACUAUUGAAACUUGUGUUAAUAUUCAUAUUUAUAUAUUUAUAUAAUUAUGAAUAAUUUAAACUUCUCAUGUAAAUCAAGACACAUGAAAAAUAUCAUUUUUGAAAAUAUCACAUACCUUUACUUUUGUGAUUUUUUUAUAGUGAAGUUAAUCAAUUCCUCUGACUAACAGCAGAUAAGAAAAGAAUUAUAUUUAAAAAUAUUUUUUUACCUGCGUUGGUUUUGUACAAUACUUAUCCUGUGUCAAAGAAUCCUCACUAAAACUAACUAAACAAAUAAAAAAGAAGAAAUACACACAAUUUUUUAAUAGUUCGGAAUCUUUCAAAUAUUAAAAAAAUCUACGUUUGCAUUUUUAUAUGCAUUGUGUGAGUGGCGCACUUGAAUACAUCACUAUUUUAUAAUUUAUCAUAGUAUUGAUUAUUUUUAACACAAAGAUUUAUCAAGGUUGUUUGAUUAAUAACUGACUGCACUUUUUAUUGGAUAAUAAUUAAUUUAUUGUUGUACUAGGUAACAUUGUAAAAGAAUAAAGCAUGUGUUAUUUUUUUUGUAAACUUUUUAAGUCUGGCUGAAGACAACAUAAGUAAAUAAAAAUGAAGAAAAAAAUAUUAUGAAAAUUUUGGUAGUAUAUAAUUUUCAAAUAUAAAAUCAUGAAUAUUCAAUGUUCUAAUACAGACUAAUCAUAUGACACUAACAUCAUGUUCUGAUACUGACCAAUUAUUCAGGAUAAUCACAUGAUUUGUGAACACAGUUGCCAGAAGAUUUGACUAGAAGCUUAACAAUUAUGGAAAAAUAAAUAAUAUUAAAAUGUGGGAUGAUGGAAAAAAAUUAGAACAAAGAAAAAGAAAAAAAUAAAAAAGAUAAAAAGAUACACAAUGUUCAAACAAAACAUGAACAGGAUCCAUUUUUCAAUUAUAGAUUUUGUGAAAACACCAAAUUGAUCACAUUUUAAAAUUUGAAGAUUUUGAGAUGUUAAUUAUUAACAAAAUUUAUGUUUUAUUUGUGAUUCAAAGUUUAUUUUUUAAAAAAUGUAUGAUUUCUCAAUUUUUUAAAUUUUAGAUUAAAUUAUCAAAUUAUUUCCAAUUGAUAUCAAGCUGGAAAAAAAAAUCAAUAAAGAAAACUUAAUGUACAGCACAAGAAAAAAACAUCUUAUAAGAGAUUAAAUGUUCUGUCUUCAAUACAAUUUAUUUAUUACAGUAGUAGAAAAAAAAUCUCAUAAUAUUCCAAUACAGUACAAUUUAUUUAUUGUGUGAUUAUAAUUGAAAACACUUUCAUUAUAUUAUGUUGAAAUAAAUAAAUUUACUUAUAUAUUUAAAAUAUAUGGAAUAAAAUAAAACAACUCUACAGAGAUUUUUGUAUGUUAUGUAUUUUGGUGUUCAGUUACAAUGUUGUGUAAAAAGUAAUAAUAACUCAUAUUGCAGCAACAUUAUUUGAAUAUAGAUCAUAUAUUAUCUUUGUAAAAUCAAUGUGUAAUAAAAAGUUCAUUAUUAAAAAAAUCCUUGAUCCAUACAUAGAUUAUCAACAAAUGAGAUUUUAUAAAAAAUUGAAAUAAUGUUAGAUUUCUAGUUUUUCUUUUAUAUCAAAAACAAAAUGUAAAAAACUGAAGAAUUAAAUAAAAAAUCAAAUAUAUACAAAAAAAUAACUCUAUAAAAGUUAUGCCAAACCUCCAAUUAUACAAACUUAGAUUCCCAGACAUGGUUGAUUUGAAGAAAACCCCUUCUCGAAGGCUAGUGCACCAAGGCGACCUAGAUUGAACUUUACAUAUCCACAAUCUUUUCAUUGAGGAAUAAAUAACUCUAAUUAACAAAAACUAUUAAUGAUAUUAGCCAGAAUAAACCCUCAGUUGAGCUAUUAUUCAUUCUCACUAUAUAAGUAUAAUAAUAAUUAUUGUUAUUAUCAUUAUGAAUGCCCCCAUUUCAGUGUGUGUUUGUGGGUUCUCUCAGCAUUCAUCCCCUUGUUAGAGAGACUGUAGAAACUGGGCCAGCAAAGAAAGAAGCAUUGCUUUAUGGGGCCCCAAUGGCCUCACACCCACCCUCCCACAUGCACAAUUGUCUCAUUCAUCCCUCCUUCAUUCAUCCACACACUCACCCCCUCCUUCAUUCAUCCACACAUUCCUUUGUUUGUUGAUGACAGAAGAAAGAAAGCCAGAAAGGCACGCAGACUAACAAAAGAGAACACAACAAGGGGAAGGGAUCUUUAAUUGUAAAGGGGCUGGGCUGGCUUCGAGGAUGGUUUGGGGGACAUCAUUCUGGUGCGCAUUCAAUGCGUGGAAGCAUUCCAUUCUCCACUCUAUGAAUUAAAAAUAAAAAAUUAAAUUUGCAUGGUAGAGAAGAGUAUAAAUUAUAGAAUUCAAUAGAAAGUAAUGUAAUGUAAUGGGAUAGUGUUUGUGGUAUCUUAAGGGUGUUACAAAACUUGAUGCACAGAGGGUUGUCAUACAUUAGUUAUGAUAUGUGAUACAGUGGACCCACAAAUGUUGAUUUUGUCUGCUUCUCACUUCUUAUAUUCCUCAUGUAGCACCACCACCUCCAUGAGAAAGUCCUUUAAAAUAUAAUUCAUUUAUGUAUCAAACUACUGUCUUACAGUGAUGCUUCAUUCAGACAUGAUCCCUUCACUUCCAGUUUCUGUGUAGGGAUCUAGUGCAUGGAGGUGAAGCUUUCAGAGGCAAACAAAUACAAGCCUCGUGAUUCUUUUUCUUAGUUAUCCUUUGAAUAUGAAGAAACAUGAAUGCAGUUCCAAGGUUUAAGACAGUUGUGAAUGGGUAGCCACAUGAGGGUAUUAUUUUAUUGUACAAAACCUAAAAAGGAGCUAUGCCACUAUCUUUCAGUCAGACCUACUGAGUUGGAAUCAUAACUUCCUCAUACACCCCUCAGUCAAUAUCAAACAGAAACAGAGCUUUAAAAUCAAUGAUGGUGUGCUUAAAAAAGCCAUACAUAGGAAAAUAUAUAGAAAGAUAAGAAAAAGUGCUCAUUUUGUAUAGUUCCUUUCCACUGUUUUGUUGCAUGAUGUUCACUUAUUGUCAGAAUGCCAAUUUGCUACUGCUUAUAAUUCAUGGAAAUUUGCCUCAAGUGGAAGGAUUUUUUCUCCUUUUCUUUUCGUCACAUUUAAUCUUUAAUAAAUGAAUAGCCUUAUUUAGACUAGUGCAAAAUAAUGGUUGGUGUAUGAAACAGUAUAAUUUUACACCCAUUGUACAGAAAAAAUUAAGUGAUUGUAUAACUACAAACUUUCAAACCCUUGCUCUCACCAAGUUACUGUAAUGGAGUAGUGAAGUAUGUGAAAAUUUAUGUUCCUCAACUUGAUUCUCUCCAUCAAAUAGAAAGCACUUGUUUGAGAUCCACACAUGACAACACAUCUCAGUUUUGCUAAACACCAUAUGCCCUCCAUGCCAGCCAGCCAGCCAGCUAGCAAGGUUGUAAGUGCCCUUCACAGAGAGUACAAUGUGCUGAAUAGCACCAGCUCCUCACCAUGUGAAGAAGGCCAAGAACCUCCACCUCUUCCUCUUCUACAGGUUUGGUCCCCAUUUUCUGUCCUCUCAGCCAGCAAUGCAACAAGCUUUUGUCUCACUACAAGCCUUGUCUCUCUAGGAGCAAAAUAAAACCAAGUAACUAAAAAUGAAAAAUUGCAAACCCUACUACUACUGGGUCCCAAGUGUGUGUGGCCACAGCCUCCCAGGCUGUAAGCCAUCCCACUCUCAUUGAGGCCCUGCCCACUGUCUCGUGCCCCUCUCUGUGCCAGGGCUGCUUCUGCUUCUGCUGCUACUGAUGCCCCACUCAGAAAGAGCUCACAUCUGCUGCAGCAGCAGCAACAACAGCUAGAGGAUGAUAUUGUCAGAGUAGAAGGAGAGAGGAGAGGAAAGGAGAGGAGAUGAGAUGAGAUGAGGGAGUUCUGCCAUAGGUGUCCACUUCAUCAUCACCUGUGCCCAUAUCCCUCCCCUUGUCUCCUCCUCCAGCAAAAUGAUUUACUCUGUAAACCUCUUUUUUCCCCUUUCCAGUGGGUAGCUGAAAGAGAGGGUGUGUACAAGGCCUAAAAAAACACACACACAAUCCUCAAUCCCCUCUUUUGUAUACAUGAAUGUGGGCAAGAGCACUUCAAAAUGAUGGGUUUCUGUUUUCACCAGCCAUUUCCACACCUUUGUUUCAUCAGCAUGACCCUCCCCCCCUCCCCCUUGCUUUUGGAAGUUCAUCUUGUGUAGUGUACUUGGCCCCUGGAAACUGGCUCUUGAUCUAUUGCCUCUAGGAGGGUGUGGUAGUAUCAUUCAGCAGUAGCAGAGCAUUGUUUUUACAGUAGCAGGUCAGAGAGAACCUCAGUUGCUUGUAAGGGCAGGCAUGGUGGUUUAACAGACCUGCAUCAGUGGGGCUCAAUGAAGUGGGUGACAGUUAGGCUGUUGCUAUGCUGGUCCUGUUGCAGAGAUGUGGUUUUGGAAUGCUCCAUUGGCUAUCAUCACACCAUGUUUUCACAUUGAAGAGAAGGGGCCACACUAUCUAUAUCUAUAUUUAUUUAUUCUGUUGCAAUGCAGUAUACAAGCAAGCUUGCUACUGUAGUGUGUAAUGUAAUGGGAGAGAAUUUGAGUUUUAUUUUCCCCAAAAAGUGCACCAAAUUUAACCCCAAGAAGAUUGCCUUUAUCAGAUCCAGCAUCUGAUUGAGGAACAAAACCAGCCCCUUCACUACUUUACCAUCUAGGUGGAAAUCAAACCUCAAUACCAGACAGUUCUCUACACAUGCACAUGUUGAAUACAAUUCAACUGUGGAAGCUGCAACAAUAAAAACUAACACAAAGAAUGGGUCCUGUGGGAGUCACUUUCCAGUAAUGAGUUUUUUCCACCUGGGCGGACACUGCCAACCUGGAUGCUAUUGAAGGCGAGGAUUCAUCCCACCCGCAUGCCACGUCAUUCUUGGUGUCUCCAGGGCACCCUCUGCGGCAGACACACUGUCAGACAUUCUAUACAAUCCAUGAAUGUGAAUCUGGUCUGGAAUUCACUUGAUGGGAACUCAUAGCCAUGCAAGGACCCCCCCCCAGAGGACAGUUCCUCUAAUGCACUGGAAGUGAUCAUGUCCUGGCAUUUCUCUAUACCCAAUUUGCAUAUCAUCUCAAUACCUCACAUUGCAAAAAGUCAGAUACAUUAGUUUUGCAGUCAGCACAGCCAUGUUUCUUUGAUAUCCUAUGGCCCUGCUUGUAUUCUAAUUUGGGGGAUGUGUGUGGAUGGAUUAUUGGUAUGAAAGCAUUCUUUAUCUUGCACAACACUAGUCUUUGUUUACUUCAUCUUUUGCAAUUUUGGCAAUCCUCACAACAUUGGGUUUUCUUUUUUAAAAUAAAAAAUCUUUUGAUAUUUAUUAUUAUGAUUAUUUGAAAGAAAUAAAUAUCUCCUUGGUAUUGUAUUGGUAGUGGCUAUUGAAGUUGUUUAGAGAUGUCAUAUUGAGUUAGUAUCAAGACCCUAAUUGAAGUUGAUUUCAGGUUGCUCAGAAUAUUGUCCAGGACCCAGUUGCAAUGACCCAGUCAUACCAGAUAUAUAUUUUUUUAUUUUUUAAAUGUCUUUAUCAUGUCUUUACAUAUGCUAUGUACACAUUCCCCAUAUAUUACACCACCUCUUGAUAUUGACCAGUGGCAUGAAUCUGGAUGAAAUAUGGUCACCAUUGACACACACACUGUUGUAUGCAAAGCUUUUUUCUUUUUUCUUUUUUCUUUUUUGUACUUUUUCAUUCUUUUUUAUUUUCUGAUUCCCCCUUUUCUUCUCAACAAGAAACCCAGCUGUUGAAUUCAGUCUUAUUCAAACAACACCAUUGUGUGGGCAUUAAUACUUGAACUCCUCAACUUCCACCCCACCCCACACAUGCACACACACACACACACUCUCACACAAUAGAUGAUCAAAACUCCUGAGCAGCGUAAGUUGAACACAUGAAAGAGAGAAAGUAAGGGAAGGGGAGGGGAGGGGAGGAGAGUUGGGUUGGGGUUGGAUGAGGGCCAAGGUGUGAGGAGGCACAUGGAGGUGCCAGGCUUAGCACAUGGGUGGGGUGCUGCUGCUUCUAGUGCCUGCUGGCUGCUGUGGCUGUCUCUGCUUUCCUCUAUUAGCUCUGCUUCCUCCUGCUGGCUCUGCUUCCUGCUGCUCCUGCUCCUGCUGGUGGUUGUGGUAGUGGUAUGGUAGUGGUGGUAGUAGUGGUGGGCCCACCCCAGCCCCCUCCCUCCCUGACUGACUCUGACUGACUAUCUCCAUGCAUUUACUUCACUUCCCCACACUACCCUACCUUACUUACUGCCACUACUGCCUGCCAUCCAAAUGCAAGGGGAGGGGAGGGGGAGAAGGCUAUGAGUGCCCACACACAGGCUGUGACUGCGAAGCUGAGGGAGGGAGAGAGGGAGGGAGGGAGGGAGGGAGGGAGGGGGGAUUUGAGAGCUCAUCGAACUGGAGUUGUUGUUGGAUCAUCUGCUCUGCUGUGCUCUGCUCUUGCUUGUGUGCCUAUCUGGGCAGAGCAGGGUAAAUCCUCUGCCUCCCACUUGCAAUCCCUACUUUGACCUGGAGAAUUCGUUUCAAAACAUAUUUCACUACUCAAACCAUCCUCGAAGCCAGCCCAGCCCCUUUACAAUUAAAGAUCCCUUCCCCUUGUUGUGUUCUCUUUUGUUAGUCUGCGUGCCUUUCUGGCUUUCUUUCUUCUGUCAUCAACAAACAAAGGAAUGUGUGGAUGAAUGAAGGAGGGGGUGAGUGUGUGGAUGAAUGAAGGAGGGAUGAAUGAGACAAUUGUGCAUGUGGGAGGGUGGGUGUGAGGCCAUUGGGGCCCCAUAAAGCUUUCAAACACAAACCCAGAAUCACACAUUCUGAAAAGGGGCAGUGGCAAUGCUGAACAUUUCUCCCAGCAUCAUCAUCUCAGUUGGAGAGGCUUGACCUAGUCCAGUGCAAUUCCACACAUAGAAUGUGCAACAAUGAAGCAGCAAGUGCAAAAAAGGAAGUCAGGGAUGGGAAUGGGGAAGGGCAAGAAGGAUAUUCUCAUUCUCAUCCUGUGCACUCAGCCAGCAUUCUCUUCUAUCAUCUCUCUCUCUCUCUCUCUCUCUCUCUCUUUCCUUCCCCUUUUGUUUUGGGUAGGGGGGUGUUAGGAAUUUGCCUACAUAAUAGAAUGAGAAAAUCAUAAAAAUAAAAAAAAUAAAAAUAAAGUUGACAAAAACAAAAUUUAGAGAAGUGUACUCUCAAAUCUACAAUAGUAGGGUUCUAUAUGGAACAACAACAUUUCUAGAGAUAAAACCUAAUACAUUUAAAAGACUAAAAUCAAAAUUUCUUCAGGAGGCAAAGCUCCCAAAAAUCCCCUCAAAAGGCACUGCCUCUUGACCCUGCUUAUUGACCAACUAGUGGGAUUGUCGUAGGAGGCAUUGCCGUCCCUCUAAGUCCCCUGCAUUUGUCACGGGUAUGAAUUAGGCUACACACAACAACAAUCUUCUACUUAGAAACUAACCUAACAACAACAACAACAACUCUUUUGAAAUCUUGUCUUCUUUUUGUAAAAUAAUAGUGGUUCUAGUCCAACUCCUCUUCAUCAAUAAUUGUGGAUGCCAAUUGAGGCUUUGCACAACUUUAAUUUCUCAAUAGUAACAACCUUGGUAAACAUGUCUAUUGGAUUCUUUGAUCCAAAGAUCUUCUUCAAAGACAACAUUCCAUCAUCUAUAAGUUUACAUAUAAAAUGAUACCUUACUUAAAUAUGCUUGUCCUUGAAAGAAAUACUAGAUUAUUUAUAAGAUGAACUUUACUUUGGAUUUUACUAAAAAUAGUAUUUUAAACUUGCUCUUUGUCUAAUUCUUUUUUUUAAAAAUGAUUCAAAUCAUUUCCUUUCUAGCUUUUGAGAUGGCCAUGAAUUCUACUUUUGUAGUUGAUAAGAUAACAUUCUUUUGAAGUUUAGACAUCCAACUUACAAUGGAAUCUCUUAAAGUCAAUAAAAAACAUAUCAUGCUUCUAUAAUUAUCUAAGUUAUGACUCAAAUUUGCAUUAGUAAAUCCUUGCAAAUCACACUAUUCUUCUCAAAACAAAGUGCCAAACUUAAAGUGUCUUUUAAAUAUUGCAAUAUCUAAUUUGCAAAUUUUUAAUAUAUCUUUUUAGAAUUUUUCAUGUAUUUUCUCACAAUUCCCAUUGCAUAUUUGGUCUAAUAUAAUUCAUAAUAUAUAUCAAGAUUCUAAUUGCCAAUACAUAUGGAACCUUCUUUAUAUGCUUUUGAUCUUUAUUUUUCUUUGGUGAUUGUUUCUUUGUAAGUUUGAGGUGACUUGCCAAAUGUGAUUUUAUAGGCUUUGCAUCAUAAAAAUUGAAUCUGCUCAAUAUAUUAUCUAUAUAUUUCUCUUGAGAUAGAUCUAAAGUUCCUUCAACUCUAUCCUUAGUAAUCCUCAUCUCAAUUGUAUGCUUUGAAGAUUCUAAGUCUUUUAUUCUAAAUUCUUUUGAUAAUUGUUACUUUACUUAUUUAUCUCCUCGUCAAAGUCUACUUACACAUAUAAAAUACAACCAAAAAUUCUUAAGAUAUAUAUAUAUAUAUAUAUAUAUAUAUCCAUAUCUUAUCUUAUAUUUGGAGGUCCAAAUAAUUUAAAGGUCUUUAAUUUAUCAAAUAAGUUUCUAUGUUGAUUGCAUAUGCUCAAAAAUAUUUGGAUAAUCUUUAAUGUAUCUUUAUGAUUGUUGUAUAUUUAUUCAAAGUGUUUUUCAUCCUUUCACAAUAUCAUUUUGUUUAAGAAUUCUUAGAAUUGUCUUUAUUAUUUGAAUUCUAAUUUUUACACAAAAUACCUUGAAUUUUAUGAUGUUAAACUUUCAUCCAUCAUCUAAUCUUAGAUACUUGAUUUUUAGAUUGGUAUUAUUUUUAAAUUUAAUUUUAUAUCUUUUAAAAGUAGAAAACACAUUAGAUUUAUUUUUUAAGAAACAAAUUAAUAUCUUUUGAUAGAAUCAUUGAUGAAGGUGGUAUAAUAGCAUAAACUUCUGAAAGACUAAACUAGAGUAAUUUCCUAUAUGUCUAUAUAUACCAGCUCUAAUUUUUCUUUCUUUGGUUACCUUCCAACUUUUGAAAAACUAACUCUUUUUUGCUUGUCAUAGAUACAAUCUUUACAUAAGCCAACAUCAACAUCUUUCAAAUUAGAUAGUUGUUCUUUUGAUACUAGCAAUUUUUUUUCUUUCUUACUUAUGUCCUAAAGUUUCUACUGCCAUAGCUUAGAAUCAACUUCACAUUUAGCUACUACUAUUGUAUCAUUGCUUUCUUCAGUCAUGUACAAUGUUUUCAACUUCUUACCUCUUACCACAAUCAUGAAUCACUUCCAAAUUUUGUUAUAUAUCUUAUAUUAUCUAGUUGGCUUAUAGAAAUUAGAUUUUUUUUUUAAGCAAGGAAUAAAGCUUAUAUCUUGUAACUUCUAUUAGGUACCAUUUGCAAUCUUUAUAUGAAUAUCACCCUUUUCCAUAAUAUCUAAAGAUUCAUCAACUAAAUAAACCUUUUCAAAUUUCUCAACAAUAAAGUUGUAUAAUAAUUCUUUGUAUGGAGUUGACUAAAAUGAUACACCCAAGCCUACGAUUUAAGACUUGAUAGGAUUUAUUACAUUGCAAAUAAAAAACAUCAUAUAUCUCUUUAGUAGUAACAUUUGCUGAUUUAUCUUCUUGAUGUUUAUACUUUUAAUAUUUUUGAUUCUUCUUAUUCUUCUAUAGCUGACUGCAAUUAUUAGAAAAAUAAACCUUAGUACUGCAAUUCUAGCCAGUAAUAUCUUUGCAAGGUUUCAAUUUAUUCCUUUCUUUGGACUUCAAUCUAUAUUCUUGUUGAUAAUUCAUUUUUCUAUCUUUAUAAUUCAAGACAAAACCUAAAGAUUUUCUUAACUCUAUUCUACAAACAUCUUCAAUGAGAAUUAAAUCUUGAACUUUGUUAAGUUUCAUUUUCUUACUUUUUAAAGAACUGCUUACUAUGGUAACAAUUGCAACUCAAACUUCAAACAAGGAGGACAAUAGAAUCAAAGCCUUGAUCUUGUCAUCAUAGGUUAGUUCUACAAAAUUCAAUUGGUUUGUAAUAAUAUUAAUUUUUUUAAUGUGAUUAGCAACGAGGUUUAUUAUCAAUGCAAGAAUGUACCUUAUUAAAGAUAGAAGGCUUUUUGUACAUGCUUAAUAAUGAUGUUGUAUUGUAAUAAAACUAUUAGGUGAAAUAAAAAAGAAAGAUUAUACUAUAAAAGAGCUUCAUUAAAAAAAUUAUAGAAAAUUACUUUAAAAGUAUAGAUAAUAGUAAAAAAGAUAGUAAAAUUAAUAAGUGCUAAUAUUGCUUCUUUGUAAAAUUAGGCUUCUAUUUACUUUCUAUGACCAUAAAUAAGGAGAAAAAAAAAGUAGAAAUUUUAUAAAUAAUUAAUAUUUAAAAAUAUUUCAAAGCAAAAAUUAUCUUAAAAAACCAAAAAUUGAUAUUUGAAGAAGAUUGGUUGUAAAUUAGAAUCAAAAUCAGACCAUGAGGCACAAAACCAUACACAAAUAAUAAUUCUUGAGAUUCUUUGGUUGAUUAAAGAGCAAGAUUUGAAUGAAAAUUAAAAUGAGAUUAUUAUCAAGGUUGGAAAAGAAUGUUGGCUAACUUCCAAAUAGAUUAGAGGGUUUAUCUUCUAUUUGAUAAGUUCAAUUUUUUUUCAAAUUGUUUCUGCUUGUUGUCAACUAAGUAAUUGAAAAGUGCACAAAAUUUGAGUCAAAAUCUAUAGUUAAAUUAUUAGUUAUUAUGGUUUUAAUUAGUUGUAGGAUUUUUAAGUGUUUUUUUAGGGUUUGAUAAGGAUUUAGAAUUUGAUUAGGAUUUGAUUGGAAUUUGGUUUAGGAUUUAGGAUUAUAUUAGUAUUUAAUUAGGAUUUAGUUAGGAUUUCAUUAAGAUUGUUUUAUAAUUUUAUUAGGAUUUUUUUAAAGUUAUAUUAGGGUUUGAUUAGAAUUUACUUAGAAUUUACUUAGAAUUUUAAUUUUUAAUAUUUUAAUAUAUAUAUGUAUAUAUAUAUAUAUAUAUAUAUAUAUAUAUAUAUAUAUAUAAUUUCUUUAGAAAUUAUUUAGGAUUUUUUUAUAUUUCUUUUAUAAUAUCUUUAAGAUUUCUUUUGAAUUUGAUUAAGAUUUGAUUAUGAUUGUUAAGCUUUAAUUGAUAUUUAUUUAGAAUUCUAUUAGAGUUGUUAGGACCUUGUUGCAAUUUUUAAUUUACCUUCCACAACCAAGUGCUUGAUGCAUUCUCAAAAAGACUCUAACACAUGAAUUUGGAUAAAACUUUGAGAAGACAAUAUACUCUUAUCUCAUUAAAAGAAAAAAAGUAAACAAAUAAGACAUAGACAUAAGAUAAAAAGAAAUUAGAUUAAAUAUUAUUAAUUACAAAGAAACUAAAAAACCUUGAAACAAGACUAGAAUAUAAUAAAUAUGCUGAUAAGACUUAUAAUGGUCUUAAUCUUUCUUUUAUUUACACUAGCUACCAAAAUAUCUUAUAGAAGCUCUUUGGAGAUUAUAAUACUUGUAGCUUAAAUGCUAAGUAGUAUAUUGCUUCUAAUGCAAUUUCUUAUAAGAAACUUAUAAGAUUCUUUUUCAUUAGCCACAUGGUAUAUCUAUAAAAAUCUAAAUAUCUAAAUAAUGUCAAAGAUACUUCCUCAAAGCUUCUUAAGGAAAAUAUCAUCUAAUUAAUAUGUUUGUACCUACUUCUACUUACUUCUAUUAACUUUUAUUUAUUUAAGUAAUAUGUGAAUUUGUUGGAGAUUCAAAAUAGCAAUUAUUGCAUUCUGAAAUUAUUGUAAAGCUUUAAAAAUUUGCUAUGGUAUAGAUAAUGUAUCUAUGGAUAUUUGUUUUUUAGUUGGUAUAAAAGAAAAUUUGAGAAUAUUUAAAAGAUUUAAUGUCAAUAAAGAGUAAUCACAAAAAUAUAAUAGAAAUAAAAGUAAACAAUCAAAGUCUUAUGUUCUAUUAAAAAAUAAGAAGAUCAAUGUGAUGGUUGCAAUGUCACUUUGUACUUGUGUGUCUAUACAUAAAAGAUGGAGCUGAAUAAGAUUACAAUAAAACAAAUAAUUGCAAUAUUUUAACUUAUAGAAUUAUUGAAAUAGAAUAAGUUAAAAGAACUAAGAGAGAAUAAUAGAAAUUAAAAUUGUUUACUCAUAUGCAUUGAAGAAAGAAAUAUUUUUAGUGGGUUUGGAAAGGAUAACAAAGAGAUUUUAAAAUAAAUAAAUUGCAUACUUAAACAAUAAAUUAUUGGCAAAUGAAUUAUUAGAACACUUUAAGUAGAAAUACAUUUAAUUUUUGGAGGAAAAAGAAAAAAGAGAGUAUACAUAUUAUUGAUUUCAAUGGACACAAAAGUUUGAUUUAUUUUUAGAAUAUAAAAAUAUAAAAUGGUAAUUUUAAUAAGUAAAAAAAAACUAAAACUCAAAUAGAAUAUAUCAAGAAUUAAUAAAAAUAUUAUAAAUUAAUUAGAAGUAGAAGUAAAACAAUCCAUUUAUGAACCAUUCUUUUAACUUUUAAUUUUAAUUAUAUAAUUGUAGUUUUUUAAAUAUAAUAAAUACUCAAAAUUAAAAUUUAAAAUAGUUAAAUUUAGGCAAAUAAUAAUUUUAAUUUUUUUUAAAUAAUAUAUAUAUAUUUUUUUUAAAUAAUAAUUUUUAAAAUAAUAAGAAGAAGAUUGACUCCAUGGCACAUUUGAUAUGAUAGUUCUAAUCAAUUAAAGAAAAUACUCAAAAUGAUAUGGUUUUUUCAAUGUUAUUUUAAUAUUUUUUUUCAAUGUUUACUUAUUAAAUAUAUAAAAAUAAAAAUAAAAAUAAGAUUGAGAGAAAAAAAAUUUUAUAAAGUUAAAUGAUAUUAGAUUUUCUAUUGUUAAGAGUCUUGAAACAAGACUAUAAUACAAAGUUGUUGAUAAGACUAAGAAUGGUCUCAAUCUUGCCUCUAUAUAUACUAGCUAACAAGAAGGCUAUAUAAAAACUACUUAAACACCACAAGACUUAUAGAUUAAGUGUCUAAGUUGAAAGGCACCUCCACAGUGAAUUCUUAGAAGUUUUUUACUCUAAAAGAAGUAAUUAGAAUUACAUGGUGCAUCUAUAUAUCUUAUUACUAUUUAGGAAGCUUCUAUGAUGUUUUUUAAUAAAUACAUUAUCUUAAUAAUCUGUUUCUACAUAUUUCUAUUUUUAUUUGCAUAAGUAGUAUAGGUUUCUAUAAAACUAGCAAACCAUUGGAGACAAACUUCAAAAAGAGUGGUACAAAUGCAUUGAUAUAUAAGACAUUAAAAAUUCCAAAAUGUAUGAUACAUAUGUAGAAUGGAAUUAGUAAGGUGUUGAGAUAUUCUAUAUCAAGAGAGACAAUGUUAUUUCUAAAAGAUUUACUAAAAAAGACAACGAUUCAAAAAUUAAAUACAAAAGAAUAUUAGAAAUUAGUUUUAAAAUUAUAUAAUAAAAUAAUAAAAUUGACAUAAUUAAUAUAUAUUAAGUCUAACAAUAUUAGGAGCAAAAUCAAAGUUUGGAAUAAAAAAAUUAGUGCUUUUCAGUUUUUUCUUCCUGUAGAAAUAACAUUCUAUGAAUCAACUGGUAUCAUGGUUGGCAAAAGGGGUCCCAUCCAGAAUCGAGUCCCAUCCAGACUUUGAAGAAUCCCUGUUUAAAAGAAACACAGAAAGGACGUUCUGGACAAGAUGCAGAGGUAAAACUGCUUUAGAGCCAUAUCCACAGUAAUGAAGCUCUUUUCCACUGUUCCAGCUCGGAGAAGCAGCUCAUGGAGGGGAGGUCAUAAGAUUAUGAGGGAAUUGUAAGAGAUCUGAUAGCAGUCUCAACGUCUUUACGGACUGAAGUUACGAGUACAAAUGUAGGCAGAAUGAUAUCCCCUCACGUCUUCCCUCCAAUAUGAAGCAUUAGACCGAAUAGUCUGCUGGCAAAUCCCUCAGAUCCAUUACCUCCUAAUGACAAGACUCCAUAACCUCCCAAUUUCAAUACAAAGUUGAAUGUACAAACCUGCUAGUUCUGAAACUAACCCACAUAAUCUCUACACUAAUCUCACUGUCAAACAGUAAGAUAUUUCCAUCCUAGUGACCAGAUCAUUUCUUCACUGGCUUUGACUUCCAAACGUUCCGAGUUCUCCAAUUGUCCUGCCAGCCUCAACCAAGACUCCGUGACUUGCGGAAGCGAGAGUCCACUUGAUAAAAUCAGAAACGCAUAUCCUAUCGGUCAUAAAAAAAACAUGAAAUUCGAAAAUAAAGUAGCAAACAUCCUAAUAAAAAGCCAAAAGAAAAAGUAACACCCAAAAACUCAGAUAUAAGACUUCAAACUCCAACAGUAAUUAAAAUGUCUAAUGUGAUGCUGAAUUAACCAAAAGGGACUUGAUUGUACGUGGAAAGUUCCGACUUACCAAGGGCUCGUCGUCCUCAGCAAUUCCUACAGCUUUCCCUUCAACAGGUAACUCUUCCGACAUCUCUUUGGCACUUUCGGCUUCUGAAUCUUUGGACGUGCCCAUAGUUUUCUCAUUCUUAUCGGCCUUGGAUUGCUUCCCACCUGAAGCUGCUUAAACACACAAAAUAGUACUUUAGAGUGAUACCAUACGCACGCUUAUGUUAUAGCAAGUUGGGACUCCCAAUCUGAACUCUCCCGUAGACUUACAUCACAAAGAGUUUUUGAAACUAAAUGCUCAAUCUGAAGAUUCAGGUUCCAGUCAUGCAAUCCCCUAAUUCUCGCUUGAAGUAUCUGAUGAUCGUACGGAUACUCGUAACCAAACUAGUGUCUCUAAACCUAAUUCUUUAAAGGAGUAACUGAAAUUUUCUCAAACAAAAUGGAGCCAGAGGCACAUUCUGAGUCCUUCAUCCCUGAAAUAUUUUCCAGCAACUGGGUAUCUAGUCAAGUUUGCCCAGAAAUUUGCCGAACCGAAUCAUUCUCAAAAUCUCUCGAUAGCACCAACUAAUACGACGCGAGAACAUAAAGACAGAUAAAUUAAUAAAAAAAAAACACAAAUGUCGACCAACUAAAAAUUGAGACAUAGUGGGCAGAUUUGAAAAAUUCUAGAGAAAAUUACCUUUGAGCGAUUUUUGUCUCUUCGCCUCAGGUUCAACCCCUUCAUCAUCAAACUCAAAAGCAUCUGCCGCCUGUUCUUUGGUGGUAGGAGAUUUGGCCACUUUUGCGGGUUUCUCAGCUUCCUUAGCUGACUUGGGAGUGCUUGUUCGCUUCGCUGAUAAAGUGUCUUUACUGUUGAAAAUCAUAGCAGUCUGAAUAAGUUUGCUACGUUAUACUGACACUAAAAAUUAACGUCAGUACAGAAACAAACUGAAUACCAUCUACGAUUGACUAGGCCAACCCAAUUCUGAACUGAAAAAAACAUUGUUCUAACACUAAACGGAUAAGUACUCCAGGCCAUGAGAGAAAUAACAAUCAAUUUAUAACUAAAUAUCUACCAAACACAUGAGGGCCUCGUGCAAGAAAAUGCAAUAGACGAUCCCCUAGGUACCAAUCUACAUUAAUCACAUAAAUAAAUAAACGAUGAGGUGUCAGAUGGUGUUACGGACUCGUCUUGUUUUGUCGGUGGUGUCUUGGAGGUCACCUUCAAUCUCUUGGGUUCCGGGCUGACAAGAUAGCAAAAAAAUGUUAAGUGACUCGCCGUUCGCACGUGCCUUUGAAAAUAGUCGCAAAUCAAAGAACUGAAUCGCGAUUUCUGUGAUGACUAAGCAUGCGCAUAAAUGCACGCAAAUACAAAGCGACUACAAGUUUCUUUAGAAUGAGCAUAAAAUAAAACAAGGAUCAAAGAUACGAAACGUACUAUUUUGUUCCUGAGAGUGUUGGAGUAGUAGCUGGUGUCUGCAAGAACAAGCGUGCAUUUAUGUGCAUUAGAAUUUAAUACAAGACGUGGGUAUUAAAUUCUCAAGCUUCUUAACACAUUCCAACAAAUAUAAAUAACAUGCGAAGAGGUCGUUCCAGAAGAACGAAGAUAGAGUUCACACAACUACCUUCUCCUUCUUUGCAGAAGUCUUGUUCUUUUUGUCAGUUAGCUCCCACCGCUCCUUCGUCAAAUUCAGUAUUUCCGUUUCCCCGUCGUUAUAUAAAAUCUAACAAGAUGUGGAACGAAGUUGAAAUGUUUAAUGUAGAGCCAAGGUCCAAGCCUUUGAUACAUGAGACACAGAAAAGCCAGUAGCUCGCGAAUCUUCUAAACUUAAGGACUCACGUACGAACAUAUCGAAUCGGUUCAACCAAUAUGCAAUUAAAAAACUAAUCUAAUAUAAAUGUGGCAUAUGAUAUACCUUGUGCUUCCUCUUCUUGGCAUCAUAAUCCACAACAGACCCUUUGUAGAAUCUGCACAAAAGCAUUUGUCAGUUCGGUUAAAUAUGAGACACAAUGAAUCAUUCCCAAGAGCACAGCGUGCUAAGUCCAAAGUAAGAUCUUCCACAUGAGAUGCUGAGGGAUUUAUAAAAAUUAUUAGAUAAACUAUAUUCUGCACGUAGGUCAUAACAUCAACACGAAGUAAAACUGAAAAACAAUACACCAAUCUGUAGUUCAAAGCUUCGCUUGUCAUUUCCUUGUUAAUUUUUCGCAAAACUCAUCGUGCAAGGUGGUACACUUACCUCUUAUCCAAAGGCCACCAGACUUUGAUACCACAGCCAACAAGAGACUCAUCUCCGCCCCUCUCGCCUUCAUUCUUCCAAGCUGGGCUCUCACUCUAGAUCCAAAUUGUCCAUUUACAAGUAAGUGGUAAUUGUAUUUUUGAGAUUAAUCAAACAAGACAACCAUGACUAAAAUCGCCGGGAUGACGGAUCUCACAUCUAUCGUAUCCACAAGCGUGACUCAACAGAAACCUGAUUAUGCAUAUCCAUACCAGACCACUCACACAAAAUAACCGCGGAAGAGAGAGAAGGAGAGAGCAAAAAAGGGGGAGAGAGUAGCGUUAAAAAGAAGUGUCUUGAAAGACUGAUUCGCCAAAUUCUAACCUUUUCAACAGCACUUGCUUUUUUGGCCGAUUUAUCAGGAGUAGAGACAAGGCCUUGACUUAUGUUCACCUGUCAAAACACAAAAUCCAAAGCAGCAUCAGGUUCUUAAGUCACUUCAUACAAUACAAAGCAGAUUUUUGCACCAAAUUACAGAAGAAUGGACAUCAAGCAUCUUAAGGCACCAUUAAGGAAUUAUUCAAGGAUAUUCUAGUAAACAAUUCAAGAAUUUUCAGAUAACGAUCUACUUGAUGUUGCAUCAAAACACUUCAACAACAGUACUAACCUUCUCUUUCUUCUGUGCACUUUUCUCCUGUACAUCAUCAUCAGAUUUCGCUUUGGCUGGACGCCCAGGCUUUCUCUUGCCAGACUCUGUUAAGGAGCGGUCGCCAGCGACUGGCUUUCCUUUUUUGGCCGAUGUAGUAGGUGUCGUGUCUGAGGAAGCUCCUGCCAUUUCAUCCCCACUGAUUCCAUCAUCCUUCCUACUAGAACCUUUGGGCCGACCACGUUUGCGUUUUGCAGGAGUCUUUUCAUCCAAGUCCUCUUCAGGUUCUUUUCCCACUUCAGGCUUCUUUGCUGACUUCUUCGCAGACUCAUUUUUAUCCACUGACUUCCUUCCACCACGAGCAGGUCCCUUAAUUAUAACUCCUGUUCCCACAGUUGCAGCACCCUUUGUUGAUUUAUCAUUUCCAAGUUUACCCUUCUUAGGUGUAGGCUCACGCACACUUUUCUCUUCCAUCUCCAGCUCUGCAUCUGAAACAGUUUCUCCGUUGUCGAAUCGCUUCCCUCGUUUGCGACCCCUUGGGCUUGAAGGCUAUUCAAACAAAAAACACACAGGAUAACAAUAUCUGAUAAGUACAUCCUACCUGCUUGGCAGGUUUGUGCAAGACCAUUGUAAAGUUACAUGGGAUCUCUACUUAAGCGAUUAACUUAAAUCGUUCCACAGGAUUACCUAGUAUCAGCAAAUCAGGUCACUCCAUAAAAAUAAUUCGUAUCUUCAUGACAGCUAUAUAUGAGCUAACUCCAUAACGCUGUACAAAACAAUAUCUUUCGUUACAUUAACUUCCCAGGACAGACGUCUGCAGAAAUUUCCCUAACUCAUAGAGAUGGCAAGAGACCUUAUGAGUCUUUGAAGAGCUUCCAAGCUUGAAUUUCGCUAAAACACCCUUGUCCUUAAAGCAAGCUGGCAGAUGGCUACCGUCCACCUGCGAAAAUAUCAACUUUUGAAGUUUAGGCGUAACAGAACUAAGUCGCAUGUGAAACCCUGGAGAAGUGUGUUGAAAUUGGUGCGCUUAUAUAAAUUUGAAGGUCAUAUGUACCUAUUACAGCAACAAAGGCCUAAAUUUCUAAAGGUAUUCCGCAGUAGGACCUUGCGUAUUUUAUAAAACACAAAGCAUCGACUGAUGUCGUAUUUGGCGACUAUGUAGAUAAGAGAUUUACUGAUCCUUAGAAGGUGUAAAAACAAAUUAAAAUAUCUUCUCCUCAUUGCCAUAGAUAUGAUACUAAGAAGGCACGUAUUUCCUUCUAUAGCUGGACAAUGGUCCACAUACAUGCAACAAUUACACCUUGGACGCUAUUCCUUAUAUUCGAUUCAGGUUAAGGCAGCUCAUUACAGCAGAGGAUGGACUACGAAGUAAUUUUAGAUGACCUAUUAAUUGCAAGACACAGACAUCAGAGAAAAUGAUAUCACCUUUGAGGGCCCUUCCACUGCUUUCUUAGCUUCAGUCACUCCAGUCUUCUCUUCCUCUCCAAUUGAGGAAACCGUUGCAUCUGAUUCAGGGCCUUUGGAUGCAGUUUCAGCCAGUUCUGGUAACUUGGACUCGGUUGGUUCAGGUGCCCCAGACUUGGAUGGUUCAGAUUCUUUAGAUUCAGUUGAUUCAAGUGCUUUGGUUUCAUUUGGUUCAGCUAUUUCGGUUUCCAUUGGCUCCAGUGCUACGGACUCUUUGGGUUUAGCUGUAUCGGUUUCCAUUAACUCAAGUGCAACGGACUCUUUGAGUUCAGCUGUAUCGGUUUCCAUUGACUCAGGUGCUACGGAUUCUUUGGGUUCAGCUGUGUCGGUUUCCAUUAGCUCGGGUACUACGGACUCUUUGGGUUCAGCUGCCUUGGGUUCGGCUGACUCAGUUGCCUUGAUUCCCUUUGGUUCGGCAGCGCCGGUACCCACUGACUCAGGUCCGGCGGAUUCCUCGGGUUCAGAUGCCUUGGAUCCAUUUGCUUCAGCUGCAACAGUUUGGAUUGGUUCAGGUUCCAUGGAUUCAUCUACCUCGGCUGCCUUGGAUUCACUUGGUUCAGUGGCCUUGUCUUCUUUUGAUUCAGAUACCACGGUUUCCAAUACAUUAAGUUCAGCCGUCUUGACUUCAGAGGGUGGCUUGGAUUCUGUGGCGUUUAGUUC